This 76421-nucleotide long non-coding RNA is filed under the name Citrus x clementina. RNAcentral describes it as "Citrus clementina (C. clementina) long non-coding RNA (CCLE_LNC005207)". The record is from RNAcentral. Lineage: Eukaryota; Viridiplantae; Streptophyta; Magnoliopsida; Sapindales; Rutaceae.
GCUUAUUUAGAAAGAGCUGACCAAAUCACCCUCUGAUGAUGAUGAUCUUGUUGCAAUAUUACUGUUUCCAUUGACCCUCCUGCAGUUCAAUCUAAUCUCCCCUUGAUUUCCUGUCAGUGGUUUCAAAUUUCCCAUUCUUAUCAUUGAGGUCACAAAGUUUUUAAAGAAAGCAUUCUGGUUCCUCCCAAAGUCCUCGACAAUGGCAGCGGUAUCGGCACCAGGAGUCGAAAAUAACUCUUGAUCACUCUGCAGAAGGCCUUUGCGGCCUCUAAGAUUGGAGAAGUAUUUGUUGUCGAAAACAUCAGGUGUCGUGACAUCAAAAUUAGCAAGAACGCCGCCGUUUCCACCUUGUGGGCAUAGUUUCCUCAGUUGUUGUAAGAAGGUUGCGUCUAGGGUUGGGUCUGGCUUGCCAGUGUUGUUAAAAUCGUAUAAUCUGCCCCUGAAAAAUUGGCACUGAGCCCUUCCGAACGUGUGUGCUCCUGAAAAACAUGCAUGACCAAAUCUUUGUUAUUUUUACUGAAUUCACAUACGAGGAACAAUAAUGAUAAUUUUAUUGUUAGGGAUAUUAUUUAAAUUUGGAGUUAAGUAAAUAUAAAUUUAAGGCACCAACACUCAUUUCGUGAAUUAACUUUUGAGUAUGAGUUACUAGUAGCAGGCAGUUUUGACUCCUAAAAGUUUACUCUCAUAACUUUACUCAAGUAACUAAAAGGAUGUAGAAGCAAUUAAUAAUUACCGGAGAGUGCAACAAGAUCAAGCUUGUCAUUGAGGCCAACAUUUCUAAAACUAGAUUUGAGCUCAUCAAGAGUAUCAAAUGGUCCUGGAAGAUUCUGAUUUGCAAGAGCUCUGUUUGCCGUUCUGCUGUCUCUUCUUCCCAAUGGAACUGCCCAUGACGGACCCCCUGACUGUAACCAAGAGCCAUUCACUCAAAAUCAGCAAUAAUCUUAAGAGAUGUGCGUUUGGGGCGGACUAUUUAAUUUGCUAGCCGUUGAAUCAAAACUUUGUCGUAUAACAAAAGAAGAAAACUUUUAAGUUUAAAACUAAGGCCUUGCUACUACGAUGCACCAGCGCAGUAAAAAGUGUCUCGCUGUCGGUAACAAUUUAUCCGUCAAUAUUCACUAUAUUGCCAUACGUGUAGCAAUUUUGGUACCAUACAGUGUAGCUAAUGCACCAUAGUCAAUAAAUCACCCCUUUUAAAUAAUGGAGUCCACCACAUCGUCCGAAUUUAAAAAUGAUGGGUCCAAGGAUGAAUCCCUUCACUUAAAUCAACUUCCACAUGGUGGGACAAUUUUGUCGUUGAAUAGCAGAUGCAAUAACUAGCAAAGGCUAGUAAAGGCUAAACAUAGACAAUUUUGUCAAAAAAACUAGCAAAGGCUAAACAUGUGGACCCAGAUCUUGCACAUUGUUCUAUGUAAAUAAUUAUUUAAUUAAUGUAUUCUUCUAAGGGUAAAGUUGAACUCACGGGUUAUUUAAUUAACUGAAAAAAUAAUAUAAAAACACGUUAAAUUUAUAGGGGUUAUUAUUAAUUGAAAAAAAUAGUUAAAAAUUACAUUAAUACUGCAAAGGUUUACCAUUAUUCUCUUAACUUAUUCUGAUACCCAUAUUAAUUUACUUCUAAGCGUAAAAUAUUAACCAGGAAGAGGAGUUGGUAAUAGAAAUUCAUUACCAAAGCAACGGAUCGUUCAGCCGCAAUAGUAAGAAUAUCAGCGCAGGAAACAACCCUUGGACAUGCCCUUUCAACGGCAGCUUUCAUGUUAUCAAUAACUUCAAAACCCCUCGCCGAAUUGUUAUUUGGCGCAGCAAAUUUCUCGCUGUCUAUGGUGUUAGUGCUGUCCAGCAAAAUCGAUGCAUCACACCCCUGAAAAAAUAAUAUUAAUUAACAACUUGCUAUGUUAACAGUCCAUUGUAUUGUUAGUUUUACAAGUAGAUAGAUUCCUUCUUAUCUUAUGGACAGGAAUUCAAAAAAAUUAUAUAAAUAAUGCAAACUCUUCUUGUUUAAAUUGUCUUAUUAUUACAUAUGUUUUUAUGACUAGGAUUUCCUGUUGAUUUAAAUUUUCGGCUGGAAGAAUAUAAAACAAGUGUGAUUUAUUUUCAACCAUACACCAUUAAUAUUGGACCCAUGAUCAUUAAAAGCACUCAGCAGGGGUGAGGCCAUGAGAUGGAUUUUAAUUCCUGUUUUGGACCAAAUCUUUACUAGAUUAAAAUUUUUAGUGCAUGAAAACCCCAUAUUAAAAUUUAUUUAUAAAAAAAGAAUUACAUGGUCUUCGGUACAUCCAAAUUAGAGAGGAAAGUUUUGUUGUACGGCUGAAGCGAAAAAAUCAGAUCUUUUAGCUUGGGGUUGGGGGUGAGGAUCUCUACGUGCAUGAAUAUGCGGUCAGAAGAAGAAUGCAAUGAGUAGCAGACAGAUAAAAGAGAAAAUAUAUAUAAAUGGUUUUGGAAGUUGUUGAACAUAAAAUGAUAUAUUCAAACUCUUCCUUAGGCUUUAUGAAAACUCUAUAUUUUGUUUAAUGCCAUAAAAAAUUAUAAAGAUACUGUUCAUUGACAUACUUGAAACUAUGUUAUAUCAGUAAGUACAUGGACAGAGAGCUUGAUAAAGUAAAGAAUAUGAAAAAUGAGAGAGCAGAGAUUGCUUACAUCAACAAAACAGUCAUGGAAAUGAAGCCUGAUGAGGCUGGCACCGAUCCGGAUAUCGGACGAGAAAGCUUUCUUAAGCACAUCCUCGAUAGUGUUCAAUACAUUAGGGCAUGUGGAAGAAUAAAAAGAUGGAGAAAGUUGAGCUUGAGAUGGUGAUCCCUCAAGCACAAAAGCAACAAGAAGAGCUGCUGCGAGAAGAUAACGAAGUGAAGCCAUUUUGUCUAAGAGUUACUAGAGAAAGGCCUCUUUAUUUAUAACCAAACAAACCAGAUUAGUAUUAGAACUUUGCAGCAACCUCGAAGUUCCUCGUUUCACUGUUUGAAUAGGUUAGUUACGUUAUUAAUUCUCUUAAUUAGGUUUAUGUGAUUUUUUUCUUUUUGAAACUAACGUGGCCCAUGUGACCAUCUAAGUAAACUAUAUGGAUGUAGAUGUCUUUUUUUUUUUUAUUAGUAAAAUAAAAUAACUAGUUAAUUUUCUUUUUUAAAUUUCAUUCAAUUUUUUCUUUCAUGUUUAAAAGCUUAAGUCUUCAAUUAGAUUCUUCAAUUUUAAUUUUUUUUCAAAUACAAUAUACUAAUUACGGUGCAUUUAAAAUUAUAUUUCUUAUUUUCAUAAUGAUCUUGAAAUUUACAAAUAACCUUCGUUUUUGCGGAGAGAAUAUAAGAAAGAGGAAUAUUUGUUUGUAAAAUUUUAUUAAAAAAAAGUAUAAAUGAACGUAUUAGAAAUGCAUGUAUAUCAAACUUAUUUGAGAAUAAAAACUUAUUAAAAUGAAAUCCAAAAUCCUGAGUAAUUAUUCAUGAAAAGAGGGACUAAGUUGAUAAUUCUUGAAAUGGUGCCUUUAUUAGGUAGGGGCGGCGACGCCUUGAGUCGCUUUUGUUUAAUGCCGGCUUACCUGUCUCUUUUAUCGUAUGUGUGAAUGCGGAGCAUGUGGCGUGUGGAUUCCACGUAUUCGAAAUCCUUCAUUUCAACCUUUUGGAACUUUUCAUUUGUUUACCGAAAUGUCAAAUAUCAUUUUGUCAGCUUAUACAUAUUUAGAUGCGAGAUCGAGGCUUUUUAUGUGGAAAUGGUCUUGUAUCAAUAAUUAUGAUUUUACGUAUGGAUAAUUUUGUUAGAGUGUAAUUUAUGUAUUAAUUUUAAAUUUUUUUUUUAAUAUUGAUAUUUUAUACUUAAUAAUAGUGAUUUACUUGUGUUUUAUUUUUACAGGUGCAAUUCUAUUGAUUGGUGCUAAAAUUUAGUUACAAGAUGAUGUUUAAGGAUGAUUGUUCUCUUAGAGAAAUUAUGAGCGUCAGAAGAACUUUGUUGAUAAGACGUGGGCGCGUACUGUCAACUACGGACUGCAGUUUUUAGUUUAACGUGUUUUGUAUUUUUGGUUUUUUUGUAAUUACGAAUUUAAUAUUUCAGAUAUUAGUAUUUUAUUUUAAAUAGAACUCUAAAGGAGAAGAAAGAGAGAGUGUUUAAGGGAGGAAUCUAUUGUGAACCAGGGGAGAUUGGGGACAAAAAGGAAGAAAUCCUAGAUCUAAACUUUUUUCUUCUCUCUAUGAAGAACUAAAACUAUUUUUCUGGUUGAAGGAUAAUGAAACUUUGAUUCAUCACUACUGUGAGAUCUUUCUUAUACUUUAAUUGUUUUAUUACUUUUUGGGUAUUUGUUUAUUCUCUAAAUUAUUCUCAUGAUUAUGUUUGUUAAUUAGGUAAUUGGCCACUAUUUAAUUAUCAACUUAAUAUAUUGUCAAUUAAAGGAUUUAUCGUAUGAAGAUUUUAAUGUUUGUGACAAAUAACGUAGCAGUGAGUUGUGUUAUGAGAAUAAACAAUCUAAUUUAAAUGAACAAUCAUAUGUAUUUGUUGAUUAUGAUUUGGGUCUCUCUGGUUUUUCAGGCUGUCAAUUGAUUAAAUCCUAUGAUCGUAUCUAGGGUUGUCUAUUGAUUAGGGAAAUAGCCAACAGUCGUACCUUGGUUAUCAACUAGUUAAGGAGAGAUUGACUAUUAGAGGGUCUCGGUAGCUAUAACUGGUCUAUUUAUAAGUAGUAAUAAUUUAUAUUUAAAUCAAUGAUCAGUAGUCGAAUCAAGCUGAGUUAAUUCCUUCAACCAGAGCUUUCUCCAAUUUGAAUUACAACUUUAAUUUGCAUUCUUGUUAUUUUAAUUUAAUUUUUAUUAUUGUCAACAAAACCCCCAUUUUAUGUUUUACGUUUCAAAAGGAUUUAAAUAAUUACCGAUCUCUGUGGACACGAUCCUGCUCAAUCACUAUCCACAAUUUAUUCAUUCGCAACAAAAUAUUUUCUUUGUGCGGCGGUAAAAAAAAAAUGAUUUUUUGGAGAGAGACUAUUUCACCAAUCGAGUCACAGGUAUCUAACAUUUAAGUCAUAGUUAUUAUGGACUUGCCUAUCGUGCAACAGUGGCACCAUGCCACCGCUUUUGUCUUUUUUUGUGUAAAAUUUCAUAAAGUCCUUUCACUUAUUCUUAUUUGAACUUUCCUUCACAAAUAUUAAGUUCAUUUCUAUCAAACCCGUGAAUCCUUCAACGGCCGAUCAACGGCAAAUCGGCUCCUCCGGUGGCUGUGGUUGGUCAGAAAAGACAGAGGGAACUGUGGAGAACAAAGCCCAAGUAGUGGCGUCACCGAAAACCGGAGAAACCGCGGCGAAUUGAAGCAGGAUUUUGUGACUUUUCACGGCUUCGAUCGGCAGCUUUCCGAAUGUUUUACGGCGACAAGGAUGACAUGGAGAUUACCGGCGUCGCACAAGCUUCCGAUCGAUACCAACCUUGGCUGGUGGAGUAGCCGGAAACGGAAACAAAAUCCGGGUCAGUUUCGCGAGUCGGGUUGACCCAGUUAUUUUUGCUACAAGGAUGGCGUGGAGAUAACCGGCGUCGCACGAUCUUCCGAUCGGUACCAACCUUGGCCGGUGGCGUGGAUAAAAAUGGAAACGAAAUUCGAGUCGGGUUCACUGGUAUUUGUGAUAAAGAGAGGGGUAUUGUAAUAAAGGUGCAAUAUAGAAGAAAAAUGUAUAAAUUGCAAAUAGUAUAAGGUGCUAUUUAUAAUGUUUAUAUGGAUGCAAUAGAAAUUAAUUUAAUAUUUAUGAGGUAAAGUUUAAAUAAAAAUGAAUGAAAGGGGUUCAGAGACAUUUUACAACACUGUUGACACAAAAGAUAACUAUGAUUGUACCGUAGGAUCCAGUUAUUAUAGUCAAAAAAAUAAUUUAUUAAAUAAAAAUUAAUAAUAUAAUAUUUAAAUAAUAAUUUUGCUAAAAGUAGUAAAGAUAUUAGAAAAUUUUCAUCGUGAGUUUAGAUCAUCUCAGUUUUUAAAGUACAGAAAUAAGCGGUGGUUCUCUCACGCGGACACCCGUAGCUUAAAAAAUAUGCGGACACUCACGUUUUGACCGUUGGAUCCCAUCAACGGCUGAAUUAAGUUGUGACGUAAAGACAACUACUGACAUUUUCGGCAUGUAGGCCCGGUCUUCAAAACUUUGAAAAAAAAAAAAAACCAGUUCUUUUAUUCAAUGGCACCAUGUGAGUAUAAAAGCACAAUAAUUUCUUUCCUUUUUUUCCCCCAAAACUAACUUGUUGAUUUUUAUUUGGGAAAUUUUUAAACUAACCUCAAAUAAAUUGAUAUCUUGCACGGCGCAUCUAAAAAAAUAACGUGUUGCACCGCGUCCUCAAUUCUAUUAAUUUUUUAGUUAUUUUUAAUGACUCUGUUUAACUUUUGAUUGAAUGAUAAAAAUACCUCUCUAUAUGAAAAAAAAUUUUUUUAGCUCAUUUAAUUUUUUUUAAGUUUUUAUUUCAAUUGCAAUAAAAAAAUUUCUUGUUACAUGUACAUUGUUACCACUAUUAUUUUUCCUUUAAUUUUUUAAAAAUUUUUAUUUCAAUUACAAUAAAGAGAAUUCCUAUUAAAAUUAAUUUAAGAAAUAAAUUUCUCAUUUUACCCCACCACUAUUAAAUUUAACUGAGAAAAUAACAAAAUUAAAAGCACAUGCAACAAGUCAAAUUUUUUAAGAACGCAGUGCAAAAUAUCCAAUUAUUUGGGGUAGGUUAAAAAUUUUCCUUUUUAUUUUUCAAUUUUCAAAGAUCAAUUUACAGUCAUCAUCAUCACCUUUUUUGCUUCUCCAUCUUUCCAUCAUCAAAAUUAUCCUUCCGAUCGAAGAAGAUGAAAGAAAGAAGAAAAACACACUUCGGUAAGUCACCCAAAAAAAAAAAAAAAAAACUUAACGACCCAUCUAAAUAAUCAAGCUGAAAGGUAUCUCUAACAGAAGAUUUUCUCAAAAAAAAAAAAAUUGAAGAAGAAAAACACAGGCCAGGACAUUCUUAAGAAACUUGAAAGUUCAUGAAAGAAAACAAAAUGAAGCAUUUAAGCCACAGGUAAGGAAUAUUAGAAGAUUAACAUGUUGGACACUAAAUUAUUUAAAUUAUUUAUUAAAUAAUUUAGUGUUAUAUUUUAAAAGGUACAGCGGUCUUACUUUAAUUGAAACCACAAGUAGGAGUUAAAUAAUUAAGAAACGACAGGAUGACUUUUUGAAAUGGGUAAAAAAUGAUUUUAUUAAUGAUCAUGAAAAAGGUAACUGUGGCUACUGGCUACAAGUGUUUUCUUUUCUGGGGAAAAAGGAUCAUAAUAAUUGCGAAAUGGUUUAGUGAAAUAGUACGGAGAUUUUAUUGGUUUUAGAAAUUAUAUAGGCUCUUUUUUGGUACACACAGACCCCAAAAAUUGUAAAAUAGAUUUUUAAAAUUUGUCCAAAAAUAAGUUUUGUUAUCCCAUAAAAAAGGUAUGUAUUGAGUAUUUCUGAAAAUAAAAGAUUCUUCCCUACUAUUUUGUCAAACUACGCAUGUUUGACAAAAAGUACAAAGAAAUUUGUAAGAAUAAGGUGUUUUUCCGGUUAGUAUUUUAAAGCUAGAGGAUAAAAUGGACCACUAAAAACAGAAAAAUGACUCAAAUGACAAUGUGUAUCGAUGACAUAGGAGAAAAAAAUACACAUGACAAGGAUUUCUGAUACAAAGAAAGCAAGGAUGUGAAUACACAAACACAACCUUAGUUUAUUGAAAAUAAAAAGCAUGUUUCAGGCAAAACAUAGGAGUAAAUUCACGAGUUUGUUACCCACAAACUAGCUUAUUUAGAAAGAGCUGAUCAGAUCACCCUCUGACGAUGAUCUGGUUUCUAUAUUACUGUUUCCAUUGACCCUCCUGCAGUUCAAUCUAAUCUCCCCUUGAUUGCCUGUCAAUGGUCUCAAAUUCCCCAUUCUUAUCAUUGAAAUCACAAAGCUUUGAAAGAAAGCAGCCUGGUUGCUACUAAAGACAUUGACAAUGGCAGCGGUAUCGGCACCGGGAGUCGAAAACAAUUCUUGAUCACUCUGCAGAAGGCCCUUGCGGAUUUGAAGAUUGAAGAAGUAUUUGUUGUCAAACAAAUCAGGUGUUGUGACAUCCAGAUUAGUUAGAACGCUGCCGUUUCCACCUUGUGGGCAUAGUUGCCUAAGUUGUUGUAAGAGGGUUGUGUUAAGUGUUGGGUCUGGAUUGCCAGUGUUGUUGAAAUUGAAUAACCUAUCGCUAAAAGUUCGGCACUGAGCCCUUCCAAAUGUGUGAGCUCCUGAAAAACAUGCAUAGCCAAUCUUUGUUAUUUUUACUCAAAUUCAUACAAAUUAAGGAUAAUAAUUGAGUUUCAUUAUGGUGGUUCUCUUGGGAAGCAAUUCAAAUUUCAUGAUGUGAUUAAGGGGAGUAAAUUUGUCAAACGUUUUAACAUAUUCCUAAUCACCAAUGUCAAACUUUAAAACACAGUUUCUUCGCAUCAUUAGGAUAUUCAGUCAAGCCUCCUAGGUGCUGUAGAGUAUGAAUGUGCUUUGUGUCGGUGGUCGUCUUAGUAAGAGUAAUAAUGAGAAAAAAAUUGAUAUUUAGUGGAUGAGACAUCCUUAUCAAAAUUUAUUUUUUUCUUUUUAAAUAAGAUAUUCAACAUUUAAACUAUCUCUAAGAUUUCAAGACUCAGUAUUGGCAUUAAAAAAUUUUCCACCUCCAGAUUUCUAAUUCUGGCUCCAAUACUGCUUUAUCCCAAAAGACUCCAAGGUCUGUUUGUACUCAAGUCAAAGGGCGUAAAAGCAAAUAUUACCGGAGAGUGCAACAAGAUCAAAAUUAUCGUUGAGGCCAACAUUUCUGAAUCUAUCUUUGAGCCUCGUAAGAGUAUUGUUCGGUCCUGGAAGAUUUUCAUUUGCAAGAGUCCUGUUUGCGGUUCUGCUGUCUCUUCUUCCCAAUAGAUUUGUCCAUGAAGGACCCCCUGACUGUUACCAAAACGACGAUCAUUAGUCAAAAGCAUCACUUGAGAGAUGCAUAAUAAGCAANNNNNNNNNNNNNNNNNNNNNNNNNNNNNNNNNNNNNNNNNNNNNNNNNNNNNNNNNNNNNNNNNNNNNNNNNNNNNNNNNNNNNNNNNNNNNNNNNNNNNNNNNNNNNNNNNNNNNNNNNNNNNNNNNNNNNNNNNNNNNNNNNNNNNNNNNNNNNNNNNNNNNNNNNNNNNNNNNNNNNNNNNNNNNNNNNNNNNNNNNNNNNNNNNNNNNNNNNNNNNNNNNNNNNNNNNNNNNNNNNNNNNNNNNNNNNNNNNNNNNNNNNNNNNNNNNNNNNNNNNNNNNNNNNNNNNNNNNNNNNNNNNNNNNNNNNNNNNNNNNNNNNNNNNNNNNNNNNNNNNNNNNNNNNNNNNNNNNNNNNNNNNNNNNNNNNNNNNNNNNNNNNNNNNNNNNNNNNNNNNNNNNNNNNNNNNNNNNNNNNNNNNNNNNNNNNNNNNNNNNNNNNNNNNNNNNNNNNNNNNNNNNNNNNNNNNNNNNNNNNNNNNNNNNNNNNNNNNNNNNNNNNNNNNNNNNNNNNNNNNNNNNNNNNNNNNNNNNNNNNNNNNNNNNNNNNNNNNNNNNNNNNNNNNNNNNNNNNNNNNNNNNNNNNNNNNNNNNNNNNNNNNNNNNNNNNNNNNNNNNNNNNNNNNNNNNNNNNNNNNNNNNNNNNNNNNNNNNNNNNNNNNNNNNNNNNNNNNNNNNNNNNNNNNNNNNNNNNNNNNNNNNNNNNNNNNNNNNNNNNNNNNNNNNNNNNNNNNNNNNNNNNNNNNNNNNNNNNNNNNNNNNNNNNNNNNNNNNNNNNNNNNNNNNNNNNNNNNNNNNNNNNNNNNNNNNNNNNNNNNNNNNNNNNNNNNNNNNNNNNNNNNNNNNNNNNNNNNNNNNNNNNNNNNNNNNNNNNNNNNNNNNNNNNNNNNNNNNNNNNNNNNNNNNNNNNNNNNNNNNNNNNNNNNNNNNNNNNNNNNNNNNNNNNNNNNNNNNNNNNNNNNNNNNNNNNNNNNNNNNNNNNNNNNNNNNNNNNNNNNNNNNNNNNNNNNNNNNNNNNNNNNNNNNNNNNNNNNNNNNNNNNNNNNNNNNNNNNNNNNNNNNNNNNNNNNNNNNNNNNNNNNNNNNNNNNNNNNNNNNNNNNNNNNNNNNNNNNNNNNNNNNNNNNNNNNNNNNNNNNNNNNNNNNNNNNNNNNNNNNNNNNNNNNNNNNNNNNNNNNNNNNNNNNNNNNNNNNNNNNNNNNNNNNNNNNNNNNNNNNNNNNNNNNNNNNNNNNNNNNNNNNNNNNNNNNNNNNNNNNNNNNNNNNNNNNNNNNNNNNNNNNNNNNNNNNNNNNNNNNNNNNNNNNNNNNNNNNNNNNNNNNNNNNNNNNNNNNNNNNNNNNNNNNNNNNNNNNNNNNNNNCAACGGCAGCUUUCAUGUCAUCAACAACUUCAAAACCCCUCGCCGAAUUAAUAUUUGGCCCAGCAAAUUUCUCGCUCACUAUGGUAGUAGUAUUGUCCAGCAAAAUCGAUGCAUCACAGCCCUGAAAUAACGUCAAAAACUCUUUCUGAUCAACUGCUGUUGUAUCGUUAAUUUAAUAAUUAGGUAGAUUCUUCUUAUCUUACGAUUAAGAAAAAUAAUGAAUAUUUGUGCAUUUUCUUUUUGGAUAAACAUACACAUAUAUACAAAUUUUCUUAUUGUAUAAUAAGUUUUUAAAACCAGGAUAUCCUCGUGACGUAAGCUUUUUCCGAGUUUAAUUGUGAUUAUUAGAAGUUAAGGAUAUAAGUGUAUGUAGUUAUAGUUCAAUCAUAUGCUACUAAUAAUAGGCAUGUUACACAAAAUUUUUAAAAAUACUAUGCAGAAUUCAGAUUAGGAGAGGACCUUAAUUCAUGUUUUAAAAUAUUAAUUGAAGAAGAAGAAAAAUUAAAGAGUAGAGAUUGAUUACAUUAACAAAACAGUCAUGGAAAUGAAGCCUGAUGAGGCUGGCACCGAUCCGGAUAUCGGACAAGAAAGCAUUCUUAAGCACCUCCCGAAUUAUGUUGGUUACAUUAGGGCAUGUGGAAGAAUAAAAAAAGGGAGAAAGUUGAGCUUGAGCUGGUGAUGAUCCCUCAAGCACAAAUGCAACUACAAGAGCAGCUGCAAGAAGAUAACGAAGAGAAGCCAUUUUGCAAUGAUGAGAAUGAGAGUUAUAUCUGCGCCUUCUAUAUACGCGCCUCUUUAUUUAUAGCCAACCAAAUUAAACAGGAGUAGAACUUGGCAACGACUAAGAAGUUUCACAUUAUAUUGUAAAAGUCUACUGUUUGAAAACAAUGGCUUAACUUAUAUGAUGAGAUAAUUACAUUAUCGAUUUUCUCCCUAAAGUUUGGUGAAAGCAUAUUUUUCUCCACAUAUUUUGAGGUGGUAAUGAUAAUUUAUUAAUUGCAUCUCAGUAUUCUAGAAGUAUGUCAAGUGUAGCUCGGUUGAUUGUGAAUGCAUUUUGUAUCUGUGAUCACCCAAGUUCUAAUAAUAAUAUGGGGCAAAGGUGGUUGUUUAGUGGAUGGGAUUUCUUGUCCCCAUAAGAGCUUUUUCUUUCUUUUUUCUUAUUAAACAAAAGAAAAGGCCAUACAACAUGGAUAUUAGAAAGGGACAAAACUCUUGUGCAACUGUUGUACCGUGUCACUAAUUUGUCUCUUAUCUUUUGACCCCUACUUUAUUUUUUAUUUAUAAGUUAUUUAUAAAUUUAUCAUAAAUUUAUUUUUUCUCUUUUCCUCUAUUUAUAUUAAGAUAUUCUAUACAUUUUUUCUCCACUUAGAUAAUUAAUUAAUCAUUAGUCAGCAACUCGGCAACUCCUUUCAAAUUAAAGUAUUAUUAACUAGCCGACUACCUCAAUUAUUUUUCACAUCACAACUAAGACAAAAUGCAAAAAUUUAAUUUGAAUAUUUGAAUGGCAAUUGUGAGGUCAUGGCAAUUGAAUAAAUUAAAAUAAUAAAUCAAAUCUAUCGGUUAUAAGUGAUUGAUGUCAUAUUGAUUUAUAUCUAUAAAUAAAGUUUGAGUUUUAUUAUUUUUGAAUAACUAAUAACUUUCAAAUUAAAUUUUAUUGUAGUUAUUUAUAGUUUUACAUCUAUAAAUAACUAAUAACUUUCAAAUUAAAUUUUAUUGUAGUUAUUUUUUUAUUUAAAGUCCAGUAUGCAUAUAAUUUAAAGUGGCGAUCAAAGUGUAAGGAAAGAAAAUAAUACAUUGUUUUUAUAAUUAUUUAUUUAAUAUUUUAUUUUAGUAAUGUCAUGUUAGUUUUAUUUUUAAGCUAAUUUAUUAAUUGAAUUUUAAUGUGAAGUCAUUACUUAUCUCAUUCCUUAAAUAAAAAAAAUAGAAUUAGAUAUUGAUGUUUAGUUUUAUGUCUGACUUUUUUUAACUUGAGAUAACUUACCCAUUUUUUAAUUGUUUAAAUUAUUCACAAAAAAAAAAUCUGUGAGGAUAUUUCCACUGAGCUUUUUAUGUAACAACACCCUAUCUUUUUAUAUUUUUAUAAUUAUGAUUUUAUAAAUAAAUUAUUCGUAACUCGUGCACUUAUCCUUAAAUCAUAUAUGUUUAACCAAAGAGAAUGAACAGGAAUUUUCUACGAAAGAAUUAGAUUUGUUAGUUUAAAAAUAGACAAUAUUUAUCUUCUUCCUUUCCUUAUAUCUUUCAAGGAAUAAUACGCUGAAUUGUGAGUAUAUAGUUUUGUGGAUGGAAAAUUAGGAUGAACAUUCAAUUUCAAUUUUAAAAUUUUGUUUAUAUACUGCUGAGCUGAUUUCGUAACUGAUGAAAAAUUUGUGUUAUUAGGCAAGAAAAGUUUAAGAUUUUGCAGUUAAAAUUUAUUUGUUUAUUUGUUUAUUUGUUUAUUAUUACUAGUAUUUUCUGUUAUGUAUGUACAUGUUCUCCCCAGAAUGCAUUUUGAUUCAGAAACUACUGUCUGUGCAAUUAGAUGCUGCAAUGUAUGUCAUUUAUAUAUGGAAAUGUCCCUCUUUUAAUUAAAAUGAUUUAUGGCAUGGCAAUAUUGGCAGAAUCGUUUAUGCAUGUCCAUUUUGUUGCCAUUGAAACUUUAUUGAGCUACAAAGCAAGAAGUGUUUUUUGGCCAAACUUUGUGCCAAAAAAAAAAAAAACCGCAAUUGGCCCCUAUUGCAAUUUUCUGGUGACUAAGGGUGAGAAAUUAAAGAAGAAUAAUUCCCCCUUUGUAAUAUCCAAAAUUUCAUUUGUUUGUAAAAAAAAAAUAAUAAUAAUAAUAAAUAAAUCAGCUUAAAUUCUGGUCGACUUAAUUAGGGUUGAAGAAUUCAACUUUGAUAAACGAUAACCUUGGAUUUAGUCCAUGCCAUCGCCCUGCGAAUGUGGACUGUAGGAGGCGUGUGGAUUCCACAUACUCGAAAGUCGAAACCUUUCAUUUCAAGCUUGUAGACUUUUUUCCUUUUUCUUUAUAUUGAAUUAUCAUUUUUGUCAGUUUAUGCAUAAAUAAUUGAUUGAGACACACGGACCGUUGCAGGAGAGAAGAAAAGUUGCUAGAAAUUAGCUGACACAAGGCCAGUUUGCACUGAACUGUUACAUACAGAGUAUGUAACGUAGCUUUGUCCACACCGACAGUACACAAGUAGAGUCAAAUAAUUAAUUACGUGACGUGACGGAUGACAUUUUGAAAAUGAUAUGUUUUUGCUUUUUUUUUUUUUUGAGAAUGGUAUGCUGCUAAUUUUUUUCGUAUUUGUUUUCAAAAAUGAAAAUUGAUGUUUUUUUGUGAUUUCAAAUCUCGCCUCUGAUAAAGUAUUUUAAAAAUUGUAAUCUAAAUAAAUAAAUACCAAACUGGCUUUUGAUUCCCGGACCUUUUAUUUUAAGUUAAGAGAAUUACUAAUUGAACUGAUUUGAACGCACAAUCUAAAGAAUUUUUCAAUAAAGAAAUAUGUUUAAUAUAAUAUUUGAAGAAAGAAAAUGUUACGCAACAAGUACAAAAUCGUAAAAGCAACAUUAAUUUGUGCUGCUUAAGCUUUCAACUUUUCUUCAAGAAAGUAAAAAGUAAAAAGUAAAAACACCAUUUCUGUCGCUUUCCAUAAAUCCUUCAUCAACUCACCGAAUUUUAUUCUGGCCUUAUUCUAUCUCUCCUUUUUAAUUUGAGUAAUGAUACAGUUAUAAACUCUUGUACAAACUUAUUUUAUACAAAUUGAUGUGGCAUGAUAAGAUUGGUUGAAUUAAAUAUCACUUGGCCCACAUGAUUUGUUUUUAUUAAUUUAUAUUUUCAUUCAACCAAUGAAUUAAUGCCACGUCAGUUUAUAUAAAAUAAGUUUAUACAAAAAUUUGUGGCUGUAUCAUUACUCUUUUUAUUUUCCUAUUUAAAUGGAAAAUGGUGUUUAGUUUGGUGACGAGGACAAUAUCUAAUAUCUGCCAAAAAUAGAAAAAUUAUCCCAAAACUACUUUGAAAGAACUUUGGGAUAAUUAAUUAUAUGUAAUUGAUCAAUUUUCACAUCUUAAAUUUUAAAACUCAUAAAAAGUCAAACUCAUAUAUAAGUGAGUUUAGACUAUCAUUUUAUGUGAUAAGAACUAAAAGAAAAUGUUCAACUUACACAUGACAAUGAGUGAUGGGGAUAAGAGCAUAUUUCACGGCUUAUCUGUAGCUAAUAAAAUUAUAGCGUUUUUCAUGCUCUUGUACAUGGAGACUCAUUAAUAUUUUGAAUUCACUUGUAUGAACAAAUCUGAAUUAUCUUUACCUUUCCAUAAUGAAUACUCCUAAUUAAAACAAGAGCGAAAAAGAAAAGAACAUAAAAAUUGUAUUUUCUUACUAAAACUUCAAAAAUUUCUUGGAAAUAGUUAAAAUGAUCAAAUACAUUUGAGUAGAGCUGGCAAAACGGGUCAUCGGGUCGUGUUCGUGUCGUGUCAGCUUCGUGUCGUGUCAAAUUUAGGUCGACCCAAACCCGACCCAUUUAAUAAUCGUGUCAAAAUAUUGAGACCCAAACCCGACACGGAAAAAUAAUCGGGUUACCCAAUAACCCGUUUAAUAUCUAUAUAUUGAACAAAAGUUAUAUCAAAUAUUUACACACUAUCAUACAUACGUGUGUGCAUAAAUACAUAAAUACAUACAUACAUACAUAAUUUAUCGAUAUUAUAAAAUAUACAUAUCUACCAAUAUAUUACACAUGUACACUAUUGAGGUUUUAAUUUUAUAUAUAUAUAUAUAUAUAAUAUUAUAUAUCAAUAUUAUAAAAUAUACAUGUCUAUCAAUUUUUACACAUUUACACUAUUGAAACUCUAAAUGUAUGUAAAAUUUUAUAAAUAAAACAUUGUGUUUAUAUUCACCCUUUUAAAGAAUAAAAAAAAGAAAAUCAUCUCUAAUAUUUGAGUUUUAAUUAUAAGAAUAUGUAAAUUAUUUUAAAAUAGAAAAUAUAAUCGGGUCAUUGAUCGGGUAAAUGGGUCAAGAAUUUUAACCCAAACCCGACACGGAAAAAAAUCGUGUUGACCCGGACCCGACCCAUUUAAUAAUCGUGUUAAAUUUGACGACCCAUACCCAUUUAUUUAUGUCGUGUUCGUGUCGGGUAAUCGGGUCGUGUCAAAUUUUGCCAGCUCUACAUUUGAGGCAUCAAACAACAAACUUCGACCAUAAUCGGAUUGAUUUUGCAAUUAAACACAACGGAUUUUGUUUCUAUAUAUCACCGAAAGUUCAAAGACUUAACAUAUUAUAUGAGUAUUGUAACUCAAUUAGUUAUUCCCCCACAAAAUACAUGUCCUACGUACAUCAAGAUUUUAUUUCCCUUGGUCCUGUCCUUGAAUUUUGUACUGAGCUUAAAAAUGGUUUUUAAUUUUUCCUUUUGUUUCGAAACUCUCACCUCCUGCUCUUAUUAUUAUUAUUAUUAUUAUUAUUAUUAUUAUUAUUAUUAUUAUUAUUAUUCAGCCUUCUGGUACGUAACUAAGACCAAAAAUGUCUGUGACUCUGUGGUAUCAUUAUUUGCAGUUUAAUUAUAUUUAAAAUGAGACGAUUGAAUGACGCGUGUUCAUGAAGUGUAUAUAAUAUAAUAUGAAUAUGAUUACGACAUUACCUGAAAUUUAAGGAACUGAUAAGAACAUAAUCUGUUUAAAUAAUAUUGUAUGGAAGAUUUCCGAUUAUAAUUUAAAAUAUAUGUUUCUUUCAAUCUUUCUCUAUAAUUCAUUGUUCAUAUGACCCUACGUCAAGAAAAUAAAAUACAGAAUAUCUAAUAUCUCUAUCUAUAGGCAAACAAUUUCAAGAUUUUCUGGUUAACUUGUUAUACAAAGCGUUGAGAUGUGAGUAAAUUAGGGUAAAAAUUUAUUUAGUCAUUGUAUUUUAAGAUUAGUAUUCAUUUAGUCCCUAUAUUUUAAAAAUGUCUUGAAACAUCCCUGCCGUUACUUUUUAUUUCUUUUGGCUUACUUUUACAAUAUUACCCUUUUAUAAUAAUUUUUUUAUUUGGACAUUAAUAAAAAAUAAUUAAAUUAUCAAUUUAACCCUAAAAAUUAUAUUAAUUUUUAAUUAUCAAAAAUUGUAUGCAAACUACCAAGUGUGCAAAUGGUGCUUGCAAAAAAAUUAAUAUAAUUUUUUUAUAUAAUUUUUUAGAUUACAAUUAUUGUGCUAAUAUUCCUAAAUGAUCUUAAAACUAAAAAUUUGUCGAAUGACAAGAUCUUAGUUAGAUGUUUAUUUGUCAAUAAAUUAGUUAACCUGUUUUGUAAUCUGAUGACUAAGCUGUAUAUCUUUUGCUCACUCAAAUACAGGCAAAUCUUCAAUGCUUGGAAACUCUUAUUAAUAAAGAAAUGCAAAUAGCUCUUCUCAAAUUAAAUAAAGACCAAUUACCCGACAAUGCUUACUAUUUUCUUAAAGUGACUUGAUUGUGCUAAUAAAGUUAUGUGGGGAGAAAGAUAUCUAUAUGCCUAUCUGGAUGCAUGCGCCUGGUUGGAUAAGAAAAUGAUAGAAAUUAAAUGCCAAAGAAGUAGAUGAUGCAAAUUAAGUGGAUUUAUUGUUGAUAAUUGUAUGAGUUGACUAGCCCAUUUUACACGUGGAAAGUGGCUUCGAUUGGUGCAUGCAUGAGAUUUGUUUGAUUUUCCUGAUUUUAGAUGAUGAUUUCAAUCAUUCAGUUUGAAUUUAAAAUUUCAAUAAGUUAGAAAUAACGAUGCGGCACGGUAUAUGCGUGGAAUAUAUCUCCCUUUGGCCCUUUACUUUUUCAUGAUUUCAAUUAAUCAAUCUUGUAAUUUAUUUAUAUCUUUAUGUGAAGCAAGUGUACAAGGUACAUAUAUUUUAAGAAUUUUAAAAAGGUAAGUGACAAACAUAUUUUUAAAAUUUAAUUUUGAUAAUAAAUUUCAUCCUUAAUGCAAUUCUACCUAAGUAGUUUUGUAUGAUUCACUUUUAAAUUCCAACAAGAACAUCUAAUUACCUACUUCAAGUGAAAAGUGCGUUGAGUGAAUUUCAACAUAAAUAAGGUUGGUUUGAAUAAUUUUUAAAAAUUCAUAAGCUAAUUGCAUAAUUAGCCGAAACCUAAAAGACUAAAUUUAAAUUAUGUAAUUCUCGCUUUGUACAAUAUAUAAAACCUAAGUACUAACUCUUGGAGGGAAUUAACAUGCUUCGAAUAAAAUCAUUUUGAUAUCUCUUUUAAUUCACUGUGCAAAAGCUUGGAUAGACUUUGUUACUGUUUAUCGAAUUUGAGUGAUAAUAGUAACUACGUACCUAAUGAUUAUUUCAUUUAACAUGGCAAUGAGCUGUUCCAAGAGAUUUAAUGCCCAUUCAGUAUUGCUGGAUCACCUUUUGUGAUGAUCAAUAUCCCUCUUUACUACUUUAAAAGCCAUCAAUGAUCAAGAUGUUGAAAUAUGGGCGAGGAAAGAGAGGAUUUGGAACAAACUAUUAUCCAUUAAUCUCAACGGAAACAUGAUAUUAUAUGAACCACACUUGGACUUAGAAAGAAUGAUUUUGUUGUUGUUGUUGGUAAAAUCAGGCUCUCCAAGUGAACAACUGCUGUUGUAUUAUCCUGAUAAGUGGUACCCAAGAAUUGAGAGAUCUUGGACUAAUAAGUGUUUUUCUUUUUCGAUUUAUAAAUUUAAAGAGAGUCUAAUUUCUGUCAAGGGAGAAGAUCCAUGUGUUAAGAAUUAAGUGUUGAUUCAUCAUCGCUGAGCUGUCAUAGUAUCGUUGCUGAAUAACCAUGUUGGAAGGUCGUUAUGCAUACUAUUGAGAGUUGUUAGUUUCCUUCCAAAAGUUUUUUAUGUAUGGUUGGAUGUGAGCACACGAGUUUGUUGCUUUCAGAAGAUUCUACACACAACUAUAUAAACAAUAUUGUAAUCUCAAAUUACAAUAUGUAGAAUGAAUAUUUUUUUAUUUCUAAUUUCUCUCAAUUAAUAAUUUUUCUCUUUAUUUUCUAUGUAAACAAACAGAAUUCUCAAAAAAUAUUUCACUUUAACUUGGUAUCGGAGAUCAAUCUAAUGGCCUUAACAUGUUCCAAUCAACAACCUAAUGGCACUACCAUAACCUCUUUCACCUUUACAAAUCCAAUCAAGCUUGAUUUCAAGAGCUACACAACUUGGAAACAACAAAUACUCUCUUCAAUUCGUGGUAAUGGUCUCGAAGGCUACAUCAAUGGAUCAAGGCUAUGUCCUGAUCAAUUUCUUCCACCAAGAUAUGGAUAUGAAGGUUCUUAUUCAAAUAUUGAAGGUCAAGAAAAUCCAGAAUAUACAACAUGAAAAUGUCAAGAUCAACUCUUACUUAGCUGGAUCAUAUCAUCCAUGAGUGUUGAUAUCUUCAGUGUUGUGGUCAUUUCUAAGAUUUCCUUUAAGUUGUGGAAAAUCUUGAAAAACAAUUUGGAUCUAAAUCCAUAGCCAAAAAAAGUUCAUCUAAAAAUGCUUCUAAGCAAUCUGCAAAAAAGAUCCUUAACAAUGUCAGAAUAUUUCACAAAGCUUAAAACAAUUACUGAUGGCCCAGCCUGCCCUGUGAGUUAUUAGGAUCUGAUUACUCAUCUCAUUUUUUAUUUAGAUCGGUCAUGUUAUCUUGUGGUUGUUUACAUUGAGGCAAACAUGUUAACUAUGGAUCUUAGUGAAGCAUAUACUAUGCUUCUCACACAUGAGGCUAGACUGGACAAUAGUAAGCUUCAUGACAACAAAGAAAUUAAGAAUAACUAUGCAGUCAAUAUAGCUCAAGUUGGAAAUUUUUCAAAGAAAGGUAAUAAUAAUGCUCAAAAUAAUUGGAACAAGGCUGAGGGAAAUAAUUAGAACACUAAUUCUGGUGGAAGAGCUGGCUUUGAUGGUAAUGGAAGAUGAGGUUACCAGGGACCAAAUCGAGGAAAAUGAAAUUAGAAUAAUAACUUCAGAGGAUUUACUGGUGGUUUUAACAAUGGAUUUCCUAGUGACUUCAAUAACAACUAUGGCAGAGGUGGAUUUAACUCAAGAGGUUCUGAAAAGGUUUUGUUUAAGGAGGUGUUGCUUGUCAAAUUUGCUUCAGGUUUAACCACACAGCAGCUGAGUGUAGAGACAUGUUCAACAAGAAUUUUGUCCCAAAUUUGCCUGCUCCAAGUCAUUUUUUCAAUCAAAAUCAAGGAUCAAGGGCAGCUUUUAUGACUACAUCUGAAUGAGUUACUAAUCAAGGAUGGUAUCUAAAUAGUGGAACAACUCACCACUUAACUAAUACAGUUCAGAAUUUGAAUGAUGGUAAGAUCUUUUUUAGCUCAAAUUUACUAAUUAUUGGUAAUGGUCAAAGUCUUCAAAUUACUCACAUAGGUUAUACAUGUCUCUAUACUUUUUUUGGUACUUGUUUACAUCUGCAUAAUGUCAUGUAUGCCUCCAAAAUUACCAAGAACCUCAUUAAUGUUUCCAAACUUCUCGUGAUAAUGAUAUUACCAUUGAAUUUUUCUCUGAUAUUUAUUUCCUAAAAGACAAUGUGAAUGACACUCUGUUGGCUCAGGGGAUUGCUAAAGAUGGUCUGUAUAAGCUACUGUCAUAAGAGAAACUUAUAUCUUCUUCUUCUAUGCAAGUGUUUUAACCUAGUUCUAUAAUGUCAAUUUUCUCUUUCAAUGAUGAUGUCACUUCUGUUCAAGCCUUUAAUAGUGACUUAUAUUUCUGUUUAGAGUCCAAAUCUCCCAUAAGUUUUCACACUUAGGUUAUGUGUUAGCAAAUAUAUUGCAUAAUAGGCUUGGUCAUCCAAGCAAACAUGUUAUAUAAACUAUUUUAAAGAAUAAUUAUUUGCUGUCUGCUCAUGUUGAUAAAUCAAUCCUUUAGUUUUGUGAUGUUUGUCAGCUUGAAAAAUUACAUCAAUUACAUUUUUUAGUUACUAAAAUCAAAACAAAAUGUCCUUUAGAAUUGAUUCACACAGACUUACAUGGACUAGCUAUGUUCUGUCCAUGGAUGGUUAUAGAUAUUAUAUCUCUUUUGUUGAUGAUUUCACUAGGUAUUGUUGGAUUUUUCCUUUAGUUUUGAAGUCUGAUGCUCUUACUACAUUCAAACACUUUAAAUGCUUGAUUGGAAAAAAAUUCAAUCUUUCUAUUAAAGCUUUACAGUUUGAUAUGAGAGGUGAAUUUAAAAUUCUUUCAGUCUUUUCUUCAACCAAAAGACAUCUAAGCUAGAUUUAGUUGUCCUCACACACAUCACCAAAAUGGUGUUGUUGAGAAAAAGUAUAGACACAUAGUUGAAACUAGUUUAACCCUUCUUACCCAAGCUAAAAUGCAUGUUUCUUUCUGAUGGGAGGCUUUUCAAACAAUCUCUUAUCUCAUUAAUAGAAUGCCAACCUCUAUUCUCAAUAAUUUAUCUCCUUAUCGAAAACUUCAUUACCAAUCACCAAAUUAUCAGCUUCAUAGAAUGUUUGACUGUGCUUGUUACCAUUUUCUUAAACUUUACAAUCAAUACAAGCUUGAAUUUUACUCCAAAAAAUGUUUGUUCUUACGUUACAGCCCUCUUUAUAGGGGCUAUAAAUGUCUAGUCAAAUCUGGCAAAGUUUAUAUUUGCAGCUCAUGUCAUUUUUAAUGAGUUUGAUUUUCCAUAUUUUGAAUUAUUUUCAUCCUCUUCAUCUUCUUCUGAGUCCUUCCUAAUUUACUCUCCAUCAAUUUUCAUUUUCAAUGAUAGUGGCUUCAAUCAUUCGUCAGUUAUACCUCCUACCUCAGUAGUGUUACCAUCACCAUUCUUUCCACAUUUACCUCAACAAGUUCUAUAUUUUCCUUCUUAAACCUCUAAUUCCUCAUCCCUUCAUUAUGUAUCCAAUUCACCUGUAUCACAACCACCAUCUCAACUAGUAAUCCCAACUUAUCUAAUAAUUACUUGAGCCAAAUCUAGCAUUUUCAAGCCAAAAACCUAUUUUACAGCUACACAGACCAUGAGCCAGUGAGUGUUAAAAUUGCUUUAGCUGACAAGAAGUGGCAUAUGGCUAUGCAAGAUAAGUAUAAUGCUUUGUAGAGAAAUGGUACUUGGACAUUGGUUUCAGUUGAGAUAGCCACCAAACUUGUUGGAAAUAAGUGGAUUUUUCAAGUUAAAUACAACCCAGAUGACGGCAUUUCAAAGUAUAAAGCUCGACUAGUUGUAAAAGGGCUUCAUCAAACUUUUGGAGUAGAUUUCUUUGAGACAUUCAGUCCUGUUGUAAAACCUUGCAUUGUUCCAGUUGUUCUCAACUUAGCAGUCAUGAAUUAUUGGUCUAUAGCAAUUAGAUGUCGACAAUGCUUUUCUCAAUGGCUUACAUAUUGAAUAUGUGCUCAUGCUUCAGCUAGAAGGCUUUAUUAAUCCUCAAUUUCUCAAUCAUAUCUGCAAGUUGAAUAAAGCCAUUUAUGACCUUAAACAAGCCCCUAGGGCUUGGUAUGACAUAUUAAAAGGAUCUCUAAUUUAGUAAGGAUUCAGGUCUUCCAAGUCAGAUACUUCAUUAUUUUUCAAGCAUAUUAGAUGUGAUAUUUUAAUCAUUCUUGUCUAUGUGGAUGAUAUUCUAAUAACAGGUUCAAGCAAUGCUCAGAUAACAUGGGUUAUUAAUUAGCUUGGAUAAGAAUUUGCUCUCAAAGACUUGGGGGAUUUCAAUUAUUUUCUUGGAUUGGAAGUGACUCCAUCUAUUGAUGGCUUACAUAUAUCUCAAACUAAGUUUGUUAGUGAUAUCUUAAGGAAAGCUCACAUACUUGACAGUAAAGGUUGUAACACACCUAUAUGUGUUGCUAAUAAAUUGCAAAAAAAUAAAGGUUGUUUGUUUAAAAAUCAUUCACUUUACAAAAGCAUUGAUGGUUCUCUACAAUAUUUAACACUGAUCAGUCCAGAUAUUGCAUUUACAGUCAAUAAGUUAAGCCAAUUUUUGGUUGCUCCAACUACUUUAUACUGGCAGGCCUAUAAAAGAGUGUUGAGAUAUAUGCGAAGUAUAGCACAUUUUGGACUUCAGUUCUUCAACUCAGGUUCUCUAACCUUGACAGCCUAUUUUGAUGCAGAUUGGGGGUUUGAUCUAAAUGACAGAAGAUCUAUUGGAGGAUAUUGUGUUGAUCUUGGAACUAAUCUUGUGUCAUGAUCAUCUAAGAAACAAAAUACUGUCUCUAGAUCAACUGUUGAAUCCGAAUAUAGAGCUUUAACAUUAGCCACAUCUAAAAUUUUGUGGACCAAUUAUCUAUUGAAGGAACUCAAAGUAUCACCCAACAAGCCUCAUGUUCUUCAUUGUGGUAAUAAAAGUGCAGAAGCUUUAGACAACAAUCUUAAAUAUCAUUCUAGAACUAAACAUAUAGAAUUGGAUCUUCAUUUUGUUAGGGAACACGUUGCCAAUAAGGAAUUGGUCAUUGAACAUGUAUCCAGAUCUGAUCAAUUAACUGAUGUGCUUACAAAGCCUCUUAGUUUUGAUCAUUUUGCUUAUAUGAGAACUAAGCUCAAUGUCUGUUCAAGACCUUGAGCUUACAGGGGAAUGUUAAGAAUUAAGUGCCGAUUCAUCAUAGCUGAGCUGUCAUUAUAUCAUUGCUAAAUAUCCAUGCACAUUGGAAGGUCAUUUUGCAUAUUGUUAAGAGCUAUAGUUUCCCUCUAGAAGUUUGUUAUGUAUAAGUGGAUGUGAGCACAUGAGUUUGUUGCUUUCAGAAGAUUUUACACACAACCAUAUGAACAACAUUGUAAUCUCAAAUUACAUUAUGUAGAAUGAAUAUUUUUUGGUUUCUAAUUUCUCUCAAUCAAUAAAUUUUCACUCUGUUUUCUAAGUAAACAAACAGAAUUAUUAGAACAUAAUCAAAUAGACAGAUGAGGAUUUUGACAUGAUAUGAGAAAAGUUAUAUCCGCUCUCCAGUGAUUAUAGGGGUGCUUUGCUCUUCAUGAUGUCAAGAUUUCAAAGAAAUGAAUCAAAUAAUAACCAAUUUGGCAUCGUUAAUCCUUGACUUGUAUCAAAUUUUUGUGAAUUUCAAUUUAUCAAUAGUUGUUUUGUAAGUUGAUCGAACACAUCCGUUGUUUAAAUUUGUAUUAACGAACAUGAAGGCGAUAGUUACGCUUAAUUAACACUUUUUCUUUGCCUUUCUUUUUAAUGUUACCCAAUGUGCAGCUGAAAACUCUUUUCAAGUCGGUUUGCCAAACGGAAUAAGCUACCCGAAAGCCGAAUACAAGAAGGCAAUAAAAGUUUAUAAUAUUAACCUGAACUAAUGUGACGAUUUUCUGUAGAAGUCGCAUCAAGUCAAACAUACUUUAACAUAUAUUAAUAACAUAUUAACUUGAUGUCACAGAUUCAGGGUUCCUUACAUUGCUAAAUUAAAAAUGGUUAUAAGGAUCUUUUAGAAGUAGUAAUUACAUGCGUGGAUGCCCAAACGAAGUAAGAAAUUUCAAUCCAUGGCAGCAAUACAAAAAUGAUGGGAAGAGAUGAAAAUGUGAACCAUCAACUUAUCCGACCCAAUUAAGGGACUGUCUCCUCUGACGAAGUAAAAAAUAAUCCGAUUUUGGUGCCAUUAAGAAUAUUGUAUAACUAGUUUUAGGAGUGGCAAUUUGGGUUAGGAUUUGUUUACUCUAUUUGAUUCGAUGCAAAUUAAAUGAGUUUGGAUUUGAAAAAAUUGUUUCGUUUAAUAAAUAAGUGAAUUCUAUUCAAUUCAUUAAUUAAAUGGAUCUAAUAUGGGUUUUAGAACAUUGAUUCAUUUAUUUGUUAAGGAUUCGUUUAGUAAAUGAGUUAUAAACGAAUCGAAUAUAAUCCAUUCGUUUAAAUUAAUUUAAUUAAAUUAUUUAUUUAUACUUAGUAUGAAAAAACCUUAAAGUUUGAAGGCUAAUAUAAUAAUUAUAAAUGAUAAUAAGUUUGUAUUUUGUAGGAUGUUAAAUUUAUGCUCUUUUUAUAUUUUAUUUUGUUUAAUUUUUGUUUAUUAAUUAUAUUUUUGUAAAUAAAUUCAUAUUCAAUUUAUUCCUUAUCGGAUAAACAAAUUGUAAAGGAAUCCAGAUUCGAUUUGAUUCGUUUAUUAAUUCUACUAAAUGAAUUAAACGAAUCGAAUCGAAUCGAAUCGAAUAUUUGUUUAAUAAAUGAAUUGAAUCCGAAUCCUAAGAUUUCUAUUUGUUUAAUGAAUGAAUCGAAUUCGAAUCAGCAAAAUUUUGACCCAAUUCGUUUACAAUUUGAUUUGAAUAUGACUCGUUUAUUCGUUUUGCCAACUCUAACUAGUUUAUUGUGUUUUUGAUUAAAUAUUACAUAAACUACACACUAUCAACGUUAUAUUGUACUUAUAAUUUUUUUAUUAUUUUACUUUAAGUGUACAACGUGUAAGUAAGCUAAUUUUCCCAGAUCUCUAUAUUGGGUUUUGAGUGUAAAAUGAUAAAAUGAUUUGACAUACAAAUACGGUUGGAAAAGUAUCAUAAUAAAUUACUAUUUUAAAGCAUAAUUUUGAGUGGACCUACUUUGUAUAAGUGAGAGGUAAUAAUAUGUACUUUUAUACUUAAAAUGAUGCUUGGGUGAAUAACAAUGCACAAAUUACACCAUUAAUUGCAUUGACUAAGAGUUGGAGUUACAAAAAAUUGUAGUAGCUAGUUAAAUUUAAAAUUAAUUACGAAAUUAAUUCCAGAAUAUAUCACUUGUAAUUGCCAAGUAAUUCAGAAUUUAUAAUAGGCAAUUAAAUUUAUAUUUUAAUAUGAGAUUAAAUCUCGAAUUUAAUAUGUGGUUAAUGAAGCCGCAUUUACAUUUUGAAUUUAAUUUAAGAAUGAAAUAAAAGGUUUAACGACAACAAUUAUACUUUUAAUUAGCUACUGUACCUAAUAAGAAAUUAAAUACAUCAGUUACAAAAUUUUAGCAGUCAAAUUUGUGGAUAAAAAUGCCUCUCAUACAAUUCUAUGAAUUGACAUUCUUCUUCACUUCAAGAAAAUGGCUAGGAAUAAUUUAAGAGAAAUAAGGAUAGAAGAAUAAGAAGACAAACUUCAAUACCUCCUUUGUCAAUGUCAUAUAUCAUCAAUGUCAUUUAUCCAAUUUCCAUAAAGUUUAGAGACAAUGGAACUUUUUUGUACAAUAACCUCUUAGUGCGCUAGAAUUAUUCAUUACCAUUGUCUCUUGGAAAAUAGGCACUGUUCAAAACCUAAAGCACUUAAUCUCUAGCGCCGAAUUUAUUUUAAUGAAGCUAUAAUAUUAUGCAGGUAGGGGAUGACNNNNNNNNNNNNNNNNNNNNNNNNNNNNNNNNNNNNNNNNNNNNNNNNNNNNNNNNNNNNNNNNNNNNNNNNNNNNNNNNNNNNNNNNNNNNNNNNNNNNUGGACAGUCUGAGGCUGGGCCGGACUGGAGCUUCCGUUAAAUUUUUAAAUAAAUUUUUAAUAAAGUUAAAAGUUAAAAAUAAAAUAUUUAAAAUAAUGAUUUUCUAAUAUAUAAUAGAUAAAUAGUCAAAUACAUAAAAUAACACAAUAUAAUAAACCACAAAUAAUAUUUAUAAAUUAUAUUCUUUUAAUUUAUAAAUUAUAAAGCUUGAGAAUUUUCCAUAAACCAUUAAUUAAGUUCAUUCACAUCUGACUUUAAAUUUUUUUACCCAUGUCUAUGGUAUCACAAAGCAAGCAGGGCCUAAAGCUUAUGACCCUAAGCUGGCCGACCCUAACUUUUUUACCCCACCCUACAUUGAGGUCUUGAUUUGCAUUCUAUUUUUAUAUCAUAUUUGAUUUGUUAUCUCAUUAUUGUAAUCACUAUUUUAACUGCUAUAUCACUGUUUUAACUGUAAUCAUUGUUAUUUGUAAAGUCCCAAUUUAUGAUUUGUAAUUUCAGAAUGCAUUCCUCCUAUUCCAUUGUAUUUCCCUUAUGAAUACUUGGAAAAAGAUAGAAGCUAUUGGACCAAAAAAUUAACACCAAAUCCGAAUUUUGUUACUAAGAUAUAAAAAUUCUCAGUUUCCUAUAGUUACAAAACCACCAUAUAUAAGUAGGAAUUUCAAGUCCCUAAAUGUCAAAAUUUGGUAAAAAUGCGAGGAUCAUCAUUACCAAGUACGCUGUGAUUUUAUUUUCAUUAGUUUGCCAAAAGCUUUGAAACAAUUUUUUUUUUUUGCCAAAAUAUGAAUCCGACGGCAUGAAACAAAGCACCCUUAUCAUAUUUUCUCAUAAGAGAAUCUUGGCCUGUUUCUUCGAUACAUCAUCUUCUUCCUUAAUUGAUAUUAGACUGAAUAGACUCUCUUCAAAUUUAUGAACUGACAAGUGAAAACUUCUUAGUCAAAUUCUCCAAGAUCUCUCAUUUUUCCCGAGGAUUAGGAUUGUAUAAGAGCAGUCGUGGAAUUGAAGAGUCGGGUUCUGAAAAAAUCCAAUUGGCAAAUAUUUGAUAUUAACGAAUAAAAGUUCGCCCCAAAUCCUCUCUUUCAUCACCUAUAUUUCAACAUUAUCAUUAAUGGUAUUAAAAAAUAAUAAAGAUAGAUUGUCAUCGUAUAUGUCAAGUGACACAGAAAGUAAAAAUAGGAGGAUAUUGAUAAAACAACAAUAUAAAAUAAACAAUGUUGAAUAAUAUAAAUGACAUUUUGAACAAAAAUCAUAAUUUUUUUUUUCAAUCUUCGGGCUUUGCGGUUUUGAUCUUGGUAUGGACUUAAGUCCACCCAAAUUGCUAAUCUAAGGAUGCAAUUCGUUAUAAGCUGAUCAUUUACAUCCUUCCGAGCACCGUGAGACAUUACAUAUCCUAAUUUCGUACAAAAAACAUUGGAUUAUGUGUUUCUAUUUAUAAGUGUGCAGGUUUUGUGUUUUCUGUGAUUUCUUGAAUAAGUAUGUAAUAAGACUGCAAUAAAAGAUUUUCCCAAUUUUACUUCUCAAUAUGUUCAUUAAUUGGAUCAAAUGAAAUCAUGCAUGAACUCUUAUGAUAACAUUUUUUGACCUACAUUUCUCAUUAUUGGUUUUGGCAGUCUCUUCUUUUAGCGAACACUGGCAACACAAAAAGAAAAUUAAAAAAGGGGGAAACUGUUAAAUUUGUAAUGGCCUAUUUGGUUAAUUUUAUGUAUUUACGUAACUUAUAUUACAGUAGUUUCUAAAUUAACAAGCCUGUCUGGUUAUAUUCAAGAAAAUUGAUGUACUUAGAUAAUUAAUACUAUAUGUAAAGUUACUAAUAUAACCUUUUCCUAGUGCGGUUCUGGUACGCGUUUCCUUUUCUUACUACAGUUUUAAUUUCAUUUAGGAAACUAGUUUCCUAUUCAAUUAGGGUAAUUGUUAUUACAUAAAAAUCUAAUGGGAAUAGGAAACUAUUUCCUAAUUCAAUACGGCAAGUUAUUGUCACAUUAUAAAUACCCGUGCAGAAAAAAAAAUUGGUUCCAUAUAUCGCACUGAAAAAAAAAUGGAGCAAUACGAAAAGAUCAGAAACUUAUGAUAUUUUUAAGGAAGAUGAAUAAUCAUCCCAACAUUGUCAAGUUGAGGAAUCUUGUCAAAGAACACGAAGACGUAUUCAUUGUGUUCGAUUACAUGGAAUCUGAUCUUCUAAAACUUAUGAAAGAAAGUGCGGGUCAAAAUUUCUCUGAAGAUGAAGCCAGAAACUUGUGUUUUCAAGUGUUUCAAGGUCUCCAUUACAUGCACCGACAGGGUUAUUUUCACCGUGACCUAAAGCCUUCCAACUUGCUUGUUUCGAAAGGUGUGAUCAAGAUAGGGGAUCUUGGAAUGGUGAAGGAAAUUGAUUCCAGUCUGCCGUGCACUGAUUACGUUACAACUCGCUGGUAUCGAGCUCCUGAAGUGUUGCUUUUAUCCGAGAUAUGUGGACCUGAAGUUGAUAGGUGGGCGAUGGGUGCUAUUAUGUUCGAGAUGUUGAGUUUCAGGAUUCUUUUUCCGGGAAAAAAUUCAGCUGAUCAAAUUUACAAAAUCUACGGCAGAUGGGUGGCGUGAAUCUAAGUGAGUUGUUACCAUCAGCUAGUCGAGAAUCCAUCAGCUUGAUUUCAUGGCUUUGUUCCUGGAAUCCACGCAUGAGGCCUACGGCUGCGGAAGCUUUGGAACAUCCUUUCUUCCGGAGCUGCCAUUUUGUUCCUCGAUCGGUGCCUCUUCUUUGCAAUAAUUUUGAAGCUGUUGCGUUUCCUACUGCCACAGUCACAAUGCAAGGACGUUCUUUGACAUAUUCUCAGGUACCGAAUGAUGGGCAAUUAUGUUCGUGCGUCAAAUGUGAGAUGCAAAGGACUAACCAUGAUCACAUGAUCAUCAACUCUGCCAAACCGGCAACCUCCGUGAUUUGUAAAACUGGUUACGCGACUAGAACUGAGAUGUUGGCUUCUCGCAUGCAACCGUUGCAGCAGCUGAUGAUGUCGAGGCCUCCCGGAUUUUGAAGAAAACGUUAAGGCUGGUUAUUGUAUUUGUACUUAGAAACCUAACUACGUACGUACUGAUUGUACUGUCGAAGAUUAUUCAAUGCAUUGAUAUUCAUCUCCUCAGCUUCCCUAGUGUCUUUUAUGUUGAAUUCAAUGAGUGUAAGUCCAUGACCAUUUUUUUUUUUAAAGUUAUGGUCAAAUGUGAGAUGCAAAGGACUAAUAAUGAUGAUCAUAUGAUCAUCAACUCUUCCAAUCCAGCAACCUCCAUGAUGCAUAAAACUGUUUAUACAGCUACAACUAAGAUGUUGGCUUCUCGGAUGCAGCCAUUGCAGCAGCCGAUGUCGAGGCCUCCUGGAUUUUGAAGAAAAUGUGAUGGCCGAUUACUGUAUUUGUUAUCAAAAAACCUAGCUACGUACGUAGUAUCUCUGUUGUGGAUAUUUUAAUAGCUUCAUUCAUUCAAGUAAGCAAAAAUUACUCAAUACUGUCAUUUUUUCGAAUAAUUUGAUACCACUGGCCCUAGAAAGGACAUUAACGGGUAUUCAAUGCACUGUCAUCUUCUCAAAUUAGCUAUUGUCCUAUACAUUGAUUUCACCGAGUGUAAGUCCAUUUUUUUUUUAAAUUGAAAAAAUAUUAUUUAGAAGAUAAAAGAGUGCAUGAGAGUGAUAAAAGUUACGACAAAUGAAAAUUAGGAACACCAAAAUUCUAGAAGAAGAGGCUUCUGAAUUGAAUGGGGAGGUAGAUUCCACAGUGGAAAAAUGAUAACUAAGACUAUCGUUAGUUAAAGUAUCCCCCACUUUGUUACCUUCACGAUAAAUAUGUGAUAAAUUAUUAUAUUAAGCGAAGCAAGUAAAGGCAAUUAAACCAACUAGUGUGGAGUUUCCAUGGAAGAGAGUAGCCAAAAUUCUGAAUACAUUGAGUCAUAGACAUGGCGUCACAUUAAUCCGAAGUUUAUGCCAACCCCUUAACCAUGCUUGUCCAAUAGCAAGAAUAACUACCAUAAAUUCAGCAUAAAAAGAGGAUUCAUGACCAACGAACGUAGAACUGCCAAGGAAGGUUCCAUGAUGAUCUCUAGAAAUUCCCUCACAAGCAGAUAACCUAGGAAUAUUAUUCUACUGUUGACCUUUAUCAAAGUUGGAGGGGACACCAUAUCACUGUAGCUAUUUUCGAAGCUUUUCCAAAGCAUGGAUCAUUACCCAACCGGGCAAAAAUUGCCAAAUCACGAAAGUGUGCAAGAGUACUCCCUAGGCAAGAUUGACAAAGAGUAAAUAUUAAAUUUUUACAGUAAGCUAUGGCAUUAUGAAAAGGGAGAGUUGCAUCUUGAAAUCAAAUAUAUUCAUUUUUCGUUUUUAAAUUAUAGCUUAAUGGCAACCCAGAUAGCUCCACGUGAGUGGAUUCAAACCCCAAAUCUAUUAUUUCAAAUCAAAAGAUUAAAAUUCACCAAUUGAUCAACUAUAUAUCUGGCGUCUAACUAUGACCAACCUCAAUUAACGGACGUCCAUCAACUAGAUUAAUUCUCAAAAACCUGCUACUUUCUAGUGUGUGGAAGAAACAAAGUUCUCAAAGAAGAUAACUUCACAAUACAUACAACUCCUUGCUAACUCAAAUUUAAGCCAACGCCAUGUUUGAUGAAAAUUUAUGGUUGCGGGUUGUGAUUCCAUUUAUGCCAUAAGAAAAUCAAAAGGGUAUGUUUUCGAAUUAUGAUUGCAAAAUUCCAAUCAAAAGGGAAAAGUUUUGGCAUGGACCAAAAGUUUUUUUCCAUUCAUUUCUUAUCACAUUUAUAUUUCAACUAACUAUAAUAAUAUAUAUACACUUAAUAAAUAAUAAAUAAAUAAAAUGUAAUAUUUAAAUAUAUUUUGGAUAGACCACUCGGUCUUUGGCCGAGUGAUGGAUUACUUACUCUCACAUUUGUAAACAUUUGUGAGAGCACCAGUUUGAGAUCUCAAGGGCUCUCCCUUAAUUAAGUAUGAUUGAUUGGAGUCAAUUGUAACUUUCUCUUUUGUAAAUUUUAAGUGAAGUGGACGACCCUCUAAUAUCCCUCGAAUAAUUGUGAAGGUAGACAAUUUGGUGGAGCGGACAACCCUAAGAUAUAUGUGAAGAUAGACAAUCUGAAAAAGUAUUUUAUAAAAUUUAAUGUACGUAAAGUUAUAGUUUCACUAUGUAAUUAUAAUAUCUGAUUGUAUUAUUAGUAUUAAAAAAAAAAACUCUUCUGGAUAGAUAUUAAACCUUUCAAAACCUUUACAUACCAAAUAAAGAGUAAACUGAUUUGAGCUCUUGUCCGGUAGCUCCAAAUAUUUUUCAUGCUUGAAACAAUGUUGAGCUGGAAUAUGUUUUUGAUUACCAAAGCUUAAUCACUUUGAACAUUACAACUGAAGAGCAUAGAGGAUUUGUCAUAAUUGAAUAAUUUUCCAGAGGUUGUAGUGUAGCAAUUAAAAAUUCUUUUCAAAUUUUGACAAUCUGUAGCUGAUGCCCUAGUGAAUACAAGACUGUCAUCCACAAAAAGAAUGUGAGAGAUUUUAGUGCCAUUGCCAAAUGACAGCCCAUGAAUGAGCUUCUACUGUUCAGCCCACACCAGCAAAGAAGAAAAAGCCUCUGCACAUAUGAUCAAAAGGUAUGGAGAUAGCAGACAUAUUUUCCUUAGCCCACGCUGAGGUUUGAUUAGUCCGCUAAUCAUACCAUUUAUAAUUACAGAAAAAGAAGCAAAGCUUAUACACCUCAUGACCAAUCGUACAUAAUUUUGAAAAAAACCUAGCUCCAACAUGGUUUGCUCAAGAAAAUUCCAUUCUAAUCUAUCGUAGGCUUUACUAAUAUUGAGCUUUAUAGCCACAAGGCUAUUUCUUUUCCCCUUACCGUGUCUUAUUUUAUAGGAGCAUUUGUGACCUACAGUGAUAUUGACGGUUAUCAGCCUAUUAGGGAUGAAAGCACUUUGCAUUGGGGAUAUGAUUUUGGACAGGGUUUGUUUAAGCCUUUUUACUAUUGUCUUAGCAACAAUUUUAUAGAUAACGUUACAAAGACUAAUAGGCCUAAAAUCAGUGACUUUUAUAGGUUUUCCAAUCUUAGGAAUUAGAGCAAUAUAUGCAUGAUUGAGAGGGCCUAUAGUACCUUGCUUGUUGAGGAUGUGGAGGCAAGUAGUGAUAACUCCGGAUUUAAUCGUUUGCCAAUGUUUUUGGUAAAAGACUGCUAGCAAUCCAUCAGGCCUUGGAGUCUUCGUUGGACACAUCUGUGAUAAGGCUUCAACAAUUUGCUCUGUUCAGAAAGGCUUGUCCAAUUGCUCGUUCAUGUCAUUUGAGACCCUCGGUGUUAUCCCUGAAAGAGCUGCUGCUAUUUGGUUCUAGCUUGGUCUGGAUGUGGUGAACAAAUUUGUGAAAUAAGUGCAAAACUCAUGCUCCACUUCUUCAACAUUUUUAAUCGAUCUUCCGGUUUCAUCUUCAAUUCCCCAUAUUACAUUCUUUUUCUUCUGCGAUGAGGCUUUAUAAUGGAAAAACUUGGUGUUCUUAUCCCCCUUUUUAUGCCGAUCCGCUCUCGAUCGCUAUUUUCAGAAAAUCUCUUCACCAACCACUAUGUUAUGAAUAUGUCUCUCCACCCAUUUAAUUUCAUCCCCAAAUUCAUACUGCACAUUUUUUCCUUUAAGCUCUGCAACUGUUUCUUCAACUUCUUCAGUUUCUUUUCUCUCCCCUUAAAUUCUUCCUUGCUACACAGAAUCAAACUAGCCAUGGAAUCUUUAAUCACCUUAUGGGAUAAAUGUAUGGGAUCAUCUAUGUUCCAGCAUCCAUGUUUAUGCCAUUCUUCUUUAAUUAUACUUUUACAGGUGUCAUAUGAGAUCCACAUAUCUUCAUAAUGGAUUUGUGAAGUUCUCUUUAUUUGAUAAUUCAGGCCAUUACUUCUAUUAUAAACCUCCAUCAACAUCGGGCUGUGAUCGAACAUCCAACUCUUGAGAUUAACAGCUACACAGUCAACAAAUCUCUCACUUCAAACCUCAUUGCAUAAAAAUCUGUCUAAUCGUUCUUCCACAAAGUUAGGGCUAAAUCUUCCGUUACCCCAUGUAAACAGAUAUCUCUUGCAGCCUACAUCCUUUAGAUUAUAAUCUCUUAAGGCUUCUCUAAAGUCACUAAUUUGGUUUGGAUUUUUAUCAUUGCCAACACUCUUCUCAUGUGGGUGUAAAAUUUCAUUAAAAUCACCGAAACAUAACCAAGGUAUGGAAGAUAAAUCUGAUAGGCGUCUCAUUAAUGUCCAUGUGUGCUUUUUUUGUUGCAUUUCUGGAUGUCCAUACACUUAUGUACAUUGCAUUUGCUUUCCAUUGCCCAUUUGUUGUUCAGCAUCAAUGUGGUGCUUACUAAAUGACUUAAUUUGCACACAAAUUUCAAAGUUCCAAAGCAUUGCAAGACCUUCUCCCCUUCCAUUACUAUCCAUAGCAAAACAACUAUCAAAAUUUAGCUUACUACGAACCGUAUCCAUUUGCAUAGAUUGCAACUUUGUCUCACUCAAAAACAUAAGUUGAGGUCUAUGAAUUUGGAGAAUUUGUUUCAUUGCUAGGAACAUCCGGGAAUCCCCCAAACCCCGAAUGUUCCAGCUGAGGAUUUUCAUGGCUUCCAGCGUUCUUGAUCGCCAACCUCUACCGAUAUCUCUUAUAUGUUUGAGUCUGCAAUUUCCAUUCCCUCCAUUGCCAACGGUUCCUAGCUCAAAUUGAGUCUUGCCACUGGUGAAUUCAAUUGAUAUUACUUUGUUUCUAAUUUGGGUAGGCUAGUCACUUUCAUCUUCUUUUGUUUUGGACUUUGCCCAGUUAGCUCACAACUUGGCCUUUUUAACACCCCUAACCUAUAUUUGUUUCCACCAUUGGAGUUUGUGUUUCGGGCUUGUAAUUUUCAUUUCCUUCUAUUGGGUCUCAUUGGAGCCCUUCGAGACCAAUUUCCUCUCUUUGCUUCUUCCGCGCCUUCUUAGUACAAUAUCUCCUCAUAAACUUUAAUUGGUGUUGCCUCCAAACUUUCUCGCUUGUUUUUAACAUUUUUAUUUCUCGCAUGAAUUCCCACAUUUCCAAGUCCUCUUGUGUUUCCCUCUAUCUCAUGCUUCUUUUUGCCGCUUGUUUGCUGUGCCAUUGUUAUUUCCAACAUGCCAUUCAUUAAACGCUUUUCACCUACUCGUUCCACCUCAUCACCUAUAGCUAAUUCAUUAGUUUGACCCAUCUCUUCCUGAUUUGGUUUUGUCAACCAGGUUACUUUGACUCUGUUGAGGUUGUUAUGAGCAGCCAUAGUGUUCUGAGUUUGCCGAGUUACUCACUAAUUUGCCACUAUCCCUAUUCCAUCUCUCCUUGAUACGGUGCUUCUUUGAGCGUCCUCCUACUGUAACUGCCUUCAUCCACACCCCAUAUGGAAGUUCCUCUUUUCGUUGACCCUAAUACUUAGCACAUUCCUUGAACUAGUGGCUAAUAACUCCACAAAUGAAAUAAAAGUCAGGCAAUCAUUCAUAAUCUAUAGACAUUGGAAUAUCUGCAUCACCCUCUUGUAAGAUCUUUUCUAAUGGCUGAGUCAUUUUGAUCGAAAUUCUAACUCUUACAAAUUCCCCAAUAUAUUCACCAUAUUCGUUUGUUUCAACCUCCUUUACUAUUCUAAUCUUCCCACCCAAUUCUUGGAGAAAAUAUCUUUCCAAACAGGCAACUCGGACAUUUCGAAUCUACACCCAGAAUGUUGUAUGAGUGAAAGACUGUUUUGUGAUCUCCCCCAAUCUUCCCACCCAAUUCUUGGAGAAAAUAUCUUUCCAAACAGGCAACUGGGACAUUUCGAAUCUACACCCAGAAUGUUGUAUGAGUGAAAGACUGUUUUGUGAUCUCCCCCAAUUCCUUUCGGUUCUGUAAGGACAAUUAAGGCCUUAUCAAAGUGCCAAAGGCCUCCUGCCAUCACCCUUCUUUUAUCAGCUUCAUCUGCAAACUUGAACAUAAAGAUAUGAGCACCCAAGCUCUCUAUCUUAACUUCUUUAAUUGUCCUCCAAACUUGUUGUAAUGCCAUCUUCAGCCCUUUCUUAUGAACUCCUCUUGUAAGAAGUAUCUUGCCCAUCAAAUAGCCAGCCAAUACUUUCUCUCUUUUUUCUUUCAUUCUCACUUCCAAAGUUACUUUAUUUUUUUUUUCUCUUUGAUAGUUAUCGCUUUACACUUACGAAUUAAUUCCUUUGUAUCCAUAGCAUUUAAGACCUUUCAGAAAUAAUUGUUGCAUUCACUGUUCUAAAAGUAACCUUGUGUUUAAAUCCCUUACCUGUAACACCCUAGGCAAAUCUCACAUCGGCAAAACACAUGAUAAAUACUGGGUUUAUAAAGGGUGAUCUACAUCUUAAUUGACAAGAUGCGUUUUGGGGUGUAUAGGCGCCGUAGAAACAAACUUGUACAGAGCUUCUUAAGGCCCAACGCGGACAAUAUCUUGUCAGGUCUAGGUUGGGUCAUGACAUUAUGGUAUCAGAAUGGCUCUGCGUAUCAUCUUAAGCAAUGUUGGGGCAAACCACAGCGAGGACACUGAGUCCCCAAGAGGGGUGUGUGUAACAUCCUAGGCAAAUCCCACAUCGGCAAAGCAUGGGAGAGAUGUUGGGAUUAUAAAGGGUGAUAUACACCUUAACUGGCAAAACACAUUUUGGAGUAUAUGGGCGCCCCAGAAAUAAAACCGUGCAAGCCUUAUUAAGACCCAAAGUGGACAAUAUCUUGUAAGGUCUGGGUUGGGUCAUGACAUUAUGGUAUCAGAGUGGCUCUGUGUCCUCUUGAGCGAUAGUGGAGCAAAACUCAGCGAGGACGCUGAGUCCCCAAAGGGGUGUAUGUAACAUCCUAGGAAAAUCCUACAUCGGUAAAGUAUAGGAGAGAUGUUGGGUUUAUAAGGGUUAUCCACACCUUAAUUUGUAAGACGCGUUUUGGAGUGUAUGGGCACCCCUGAAACAAACCCGUGCGGGCCUUGUUAAGGUUCAAAACGGAUAAUGUAUUGUCAGGUCUGGGUUGGGUCAUGACAUUAUGGUAUCAGAGCGGCUCCACAUGUCCUCUUGAGCGAUGGUGAGGCAAACUUCAAUGAGGACGUUGAGUCCUCAAGAGGGGGUGUAUGUAACACCCUAGGCAAAUCCCACAUCGGCAAAGCACAUGAAAGAUGUUGAGUUUAUAAGGGGUGAUCUACACCUUAAUUGGCAAGACACGUUUUGGGCCUUGUAUAGGCGCCCCAGAAACAAACAAGCACAUCUAUUUUUUUCAAAAUUAAUAGUUGAGUCUUAAAUGUGAACUUAUUUAGUGGCUGCAAAUUAUGAACCCAUUUUUUAUUUCGGUGAAAACGAAAGUGUAAAAUGCAAAACAGAAAACGUAAAAUGAUAUGAUGCAAUAAUUACAUAAUUAAUGUUUUCCCUAAGAUAUAGUAAAAGCAUAUGUUUCACCAAAAAAUUUUGAAGCCUUACCGGUCCUCCCAGCCGUUUUAUUUAUUUAUUUAUUUAUUUUUAGUAUUUAUAUAAAUGAAACUAAAACUCUCGUCACCCACAUGAGUGGUUGAAUCUAAGCCACUUAAAGUUAAUAAUUCAUGGCUUGAGUGAGUUUGCUCCCCAGUUCGAGUCGCAGGGAAGUCGCCUUUGUUAGGAGAACCUGUGCCUCUCGGUUCGAGCGGGGACUUCUAGUCUAGGUUUUGGUACGGGCUUAAAGGUACCUCUCACAGUUGGGGUCCUCUCCAGGAUACCUCGUGGUCAAAACAAAAAAAAAAGUUAAUAAUUCAUGAAAUGGUGCCUUUGUUUUGUGGCGGUCCCGGGGCCUUUGCCUCUGAUUAAUAUUAUUCUUUUAGCGUGUGGAUUCCACAAAUCGAAACCCUUCGGAAUUUUAAUUAUUAUUUACUGAAAUAUCAUUUUCCCUAUGGCUUCUACAUAUUAUGCCUAUAGCUAGUGAUUGUUACGUAAUUCAUAUAAAAAAUCAAUUUUAGAAUUGUAACUAUUUUAAUUAACUGAUGCAAGGUAAAUUCCUUACAGAAAAAAUUCAUCUAUGUUCUCUUAGAUUAUAAAAGAUGAAAGUAGCGUAAUUAAGUUUAAGAGAAAACUGAUUUUAUUAAAUUUCAAGGACGAAACGAAAAAAAUAAUAAGAGAGAUAAAAAGAAUUUCUAAGAGAACGAAAGUAUCAUUCGACAAAUAAAUUUAAAUUCAUAAUUUUUUCUGCCCGAUCUAAUAUUAAUUCUUAGCGGCAAGCCUACGGCACAAGCCACAUAUAUGCAAUUAUGCAUAAUUUUUAUUGGUUAAAACGUGACAUUGAUGAUGUUGAAAGAACAAAUAAUAAACAAUAAUACAAUAAAACCUCCAAAUAGAAAUACUUUAUAUAUGAAUAAUUUCUUUAUAGUAAUUAAAAUUUUGGUCCCAAGUUGGGACCAGUUAUAAUUAAAAAUAAAUUUUACAUUGUAAUAAGUUAUAUUUUUUAUAAGUCCCGACUUAAUAAACUUACUUUCACAUAUUAAUAAUAUAUCAAAAAUAUAUAUCAUGUUACAUUUAAUAAUUAUUAAUUUAUUAAUACAUGACAUAAUUUACCCCUAUAUCACUUGCAUUAGAGAUAAUUAAGUAAAGACAAUAAUUUUUGUACUAUACUUCUAUUGAGUUAUAACCUCUUUAUUAAAAUAAAUUUCUCCAGUCUCAACAAUAUGAUUAUACAGAGAAUUUACUGUAUCAGGCUUUUUGAUGCGUAUAGAAAGCAGGACGAGAACACAAAAACACAAGUUUAAUUAAUUUAUUUGAAAAUACAUAGCAUGUUUCAGACAAGAAAAUUAGAUUAAACUCAAGUUUGAUAGUUAAUUUAUUUGAAAACACAUAACAUGUUUCAGGCCAAACGAUAAGAUUAAAUUCGAGUUUGUUAAGCACAAAAACUCUCUCGCAUAUGCCGCAAGCUAGCUUAUUAGAAAGAGCUGACCAAAUCACCCUCCGAUGAUGAUGAUCUUGUUGCAAUAUUAUUGUUUCCAUUGACCCUCCUGCAGUUCAAUCUAAUCUCCCCUUGAUUUCCUGUCAGUGGUUUCAAAUUGCCCAUUCUUAUCAUUGAGAUCACAAAGUUUUUAAAGAAAGCAGUCUGGUUCCUCCCAAAGUCCUCGACAAUGGCAGCGGUAUCGGCACCAGGAGUCGAAAACAACUCUUGAUCACUCUGCAGAAGGCCUUUGCGGAGUCUAAGAUUGGAGAAGUAUUUGUUGUCGAAAGCAUCAGGUGUUUUGACAUCAAAAUUAGCAAGAACGGCGCCGUUUCCACCCUGUGGGCAUAGUUCCCUCAGUUGCUUUAAGAGGGUUCUGUCCAGUGUUGGGUCUGGCUUGCCAGUUUUGUUGAAAUCGUAUAAUCUGUCACUGAAAAAUUUGCACUGAGCCCUUCCAAACGUGUGAGCUCCUGAAAAACAUGCAUGACCAAACCUUUGUUAUUUUUACUGAAUUCACAUACGAGGAACAAUAAUGAUAAUUUUAUUGUUAGGGAUAUUAUUUAAAUUUUGAGUUAAGUAAAUAUAAAUUUAAGGCACCAACACUCAUUUCUUAAAUUAAUUUUUGAGUAUGAGUUACUAUUAGCAGGCAGUUUUGACUCCUAAAAGUUUACUCUCGUAACUUUACUCAAGUAACUAAAAGGAUGUAGAAGCAAUUAAUAAUUACCGGAGAGUGCAACAAGAUCAAACUUGUCAUUGAGGCCAACAUUUCUAAAACUAGAUUUGAGCUCAUCAAGAGAAUUAGAUGGUCCUGGAAGAUUCUGAUUUGCAAGAGCUCUGUUUGCCGUUCUGCUGUCUCUUCUUCCCAAUGGAACUGCCCAUGACGGACCCCCUGACUGUAACCAAAAGCCAUUCACUCAAAAUCAGCAAUAAUCUUAAGAGAUGUGUGUUUGGGGCGGACUAUUUAAUUUGCUAGCCGUUGAAUCAAACUUUGUCGUAUAACAAAAGAAGAAAACUUUUAAUUUUAAAACUAAGGCCUUGCUACGAUACACCAGCGCAGUAAAAAGUGUCUCACUGUCGGUAACAAUUUAUCCGUUGAUAAUCACUAUAUUGACAUACUUGUAGCAAUUUUGGUACCAUACAGUGUAGCUGAUGCACCAUAGUCAAUAAGUCACCCCUUUUAAAUAAUGGAGUCCACCACGUCGUCCGAAUCUAAAAAUGAUCGGUCCAACGAUGAAUCCCUUCACUUAAAUCAAUUUCCACAUGGUGGGGCAAUUUUGUCGUUGAAUAGCAGAUGCAAUAACUAGCAAAGGCUAAACAGUGGACUCAGAUCUUGCACAUUGUUCUAUGUGAAUAAUUAUUUAAUUAAUAUAUUCUUCUAAGGAUAAAGUUGAACUUACGGGAUAUUUAAUUAACUGAAAAAAAUAAUAUAAAAACACGUUAAAUUUAUAUGGGUUAUUAUUAAUUAAAAAAAUAGUUAAACACUACAUUAAUACUACAAAGAUUUAUCAUUAUUCUGUUCGCUUAUUCUGAUACCCAUAUUAAUUUACUUCUAAGCGUAAAAUAUUUACUGGGAAGAGGAGUUGGUAAUAGAAAUUCAUUACCAAAGCAACGGAUCGUUCAGCCGCAAUAGUAAGAAUAUCAGCGCAGGAAACAACCCUUCGACAUGCCUUUUCAACGGCAGCUUUCAUGUUAUCAAUAACUUCAAAACCCCUCGCCGAAUUAUUAUUUGGCGCAGCAAAUUUCUCGCUGUCUAUGGUGUUAGUGCUGUCCAGCAAAAUCGAUGCAUCACACCCCUGAAAAAAUAAUAUUAAUUAACAACUUGCUAUGUUAACAGUCCAUUGUAUUAUUACUUUUUCAAGUACAUAGAUUCCUUCUUAUCUUAUGGACAGGAAUUCAAAAAAAUUAUAUAAAUAAUGCAAACUCUUCUUAUUUAAAUUGUCUUAUUAUUACAUAUGUUUUUAAGACUAGGAUUUCCAGUUGAUUUAAAUUUCUCAGUUGGAAGAAUAUAAAACAAGUGUGAUUUUUUUUCAACCAUACACCAUUAAUAUUGGACCCAUGAUCAUUAAAAGAACUCAGCAGGGAUGAGGCCAUGAGGUGGAUUUUAUUUCCUGUUUUGUACCAAAUCUUUGCUAGAUUUAAAUUUCUAGUACAUGAAAACCCCAUAUUAAAAUUUAUUUAUAAACAGAGAAUUACAUGGUCCUCGGUACAUCGAAUUAGAGAGGAAAAAUUUGUUGUAAAGAGAAAGAAAAAAGAUAAAUAAAAAUGGUUUUGGAAGUUGUUGAAAUUAAAAUGAUAUAUUCAAACUCUUAAUGAAAACUCUAUAUUUUGUUUAAUGCCAUAAAAAUUAUAAAGAUACUGUUCAUUGAUAUACUUGAAACUAUGUUAUAUCAGUAAGUACAUAGACAGAGAGCUUGAUAAAGUAAAGAAGAUGAAAAAUGAGAGAGCAGAGAUUGCUUACAUCAACAAAACAGUCAUGGAAAUGAAGCCUGAUGAGGCUGGCACCGAUCCGGAUAUCGGACGAGAACGCUUUCUUAAGCACAUCCUCGAUAAUGUUCAAUACAUUAGGGCAUGUGGAAGAAUAAAAAGAUGGAGAAAGUUGAGCUUGAGAUGGUGAUCCCUCAAGCACAAAAGCAACAACAAGAGCUGCUGCAAGAAGAUAACGAAGUGAAGCCAUUUUGGCUAAGAGUUACUACUUCUCUAUGAAGAGAAUGAUUAGUCUUAGGACUUGGAAAACAAAGAGAAAUGCCUCUUUAUUUAUAACCAAACAAACCAGAUUAGGAUUAGAACUUUGCAGCAACCUCGAAGUUCCUCGUUUCACUGUUUGAAUAGGUUAGUUACGUUAUUAAUUCGGUAAUUCCCUUAAUUAGGUUUAUGUGAUUUUUUUUUAAACUAAUGUGGCCCACGUGAGCAUCUAAGUAAACUAUAUGGAUAAAGAUGUCUUUUUUUCUUUAUUAUUAAAAUAAAAUUACUAGUUAAUUUUCUUUUUUAAAUUUCAUUCAAUUUUUCUUUCGUGUUUAAAAGCUUAAGUCUUCAAUUAGAUUCUUCGAUUUUAAUUUUUUUUUCAAGUACAAUAUACUAAUUACGGAGCAUUUGAAAUUACAUGUCUUAUUUUCAUAAUGAUCUUGAAAUUUAGAAAUAACCUUCGUUUUUGUGGAGAGAACAUAAGAAAGGGGAAUAUUUGUUUGUAAAAUUUUAUUAAAAAAAAGUAUAAAUGAGCGUAUUACAAAUGCAUGUAUAUCAAACUUAUUUGAGAAUAAAAGCUUAUUAAAAUGAAAUCCAAAAUUUUGAGUAAUUAUUCAUGAAAUGAGGGACUAAGUUGAUAAUUCUUGAAAUGGUGUUAGGUAGGGGCGGCGACGCCUCGAGCCGCCUUUGUUUAAUGCCAGCCUACCUGUUUCUUUUAUCGUAUGUGUGAAUGUGGAGCAAGUGGCGUGUGGAUUCCACAUAUUCGAAAUCCUUCAUUUCAACCUUUUGAAAUUCAUAUAAAAAACAAAACCUUUUGAAAUUUUUUAUUUGUCUACCGAAAUAUCAAAUAUAAUUUUGUCAGCUCAUACAUAGUUAGAUGCGAGAUUGAGCUACUCAAACUCUUUAAGUUAUAAUUAUUUUUAUCAUAUAAGUGUGGGUUCAAUCAUCUUAAUUUUUAAGCUCUAACAAUAAAUGUUUGUUAAAUAUUUUAAUAUUUAUCCUAAAAGAUAUAAUUGUUUGACUUUGACUUCAAAUGGGGUUAGAUUAAAACCCCAAGUGGAUGCUAAAUAAUUAAGUGGUGGCAGGAUUAUAUUUGAAAUGGGUAUAAGAGUAAUUUAGAUUUCUAAUUCAAGAAGGGACCGAGAGGAAAUGAAAAAGAUAGAACACGCUUAAGUUCUAGAAGGAAAAAUGAUUUUAUUAAUGAUCAUGAAAAAGAUAACCAUUGUUACUACUUUUAGUUUGGGAAAAAAAGAUCAAAAUAUUUGCCGUGGUUUAGUGAUUAGACACGAAGAUUCCAUUACUUUUAGAAACUAUAUAGGCUCUUUUUUGUGCACAUAGACCGCACAAUUGUUUUUUAAAUUUGUCCAAAAACUAAGUUUUCUUAUCCUAAAAAGAGUUUGUGUAACCAUUUUUAAAAAUUACAAAAAAUUCUUCCCCACUAUUUUGUCAAACUACAAAUGUCAGACAAAAAGGAAAAAAGCAAUAUGUAAAAAGAAGGUGUUUUUCCGGUUAAUGUUUUAAAGCUAGAGGAUAAAGUGGGUUAUUAAAAACUUGUAAGUGACUCAAAUGAAAAUACAUAUCGAUGACUUCGGGAGAAAAAAAAGAAAAGAAAAAAGAAACACAUACAAUAUGACAAGGAUUUCUGAUACAUAGAAAGCAGGACGUGAAUACACAACCACAACUUUAGUUUAUUGAAAAUACAAAGCAUGUUUCAGGCAAAACAUAGGAGUAAAUUCAUGAGUUUGUUACCCACAAACUCUUUCUCUCGCGUUAGCUGCAAACUAGCUUAUUCAGAAAGAGCUGACCAAAUCACCCUCCGAUGAUGAUGAUCUUGUUGCGAUAUUGCUGUUUCCGUUGACCCUCCUGCAGUUCAAUCUAAUCUCCCCUUGAUUUCCUGUCAGUGGUUUCAAAUUGCCCAUUCUUAUCAUUGAAGUCACAAAGUUUUCAAAGAAAGCAGUCUGGUUCCUGCCAAAGUUAUUGACAAUGGCAGCGGUAUCGGCCCCGGGAGUCGAAAACAACUCUUGAUCACUCUGCAGAAGGCCCUUGUGUAUUUGAAGAUUGAAGAAGUAUUUGUUGUCAAACACAUCAGGUGUUGUGACAUCAAGAUUAGUUAGAACGCUGCCGUUUCCACCUUGUGGGCAUAGUUGCCUUAGUUGUUGUAAGAGGGUUGUGUUAAGUGUUGGGUCUGGAUUGCCAGUGCUGUUGAAAUUGAAUAACCUAUCGCUAAAAGUUCGGCACUGAGCCCUUCCAAAUGUGUGAGCUCCUGAAAAAAAUGCAUAGCCAAUCUUUGUUAUUUUUACUCAAAUUCAUACAAAUUAAGGAUAAUAAUGGAGUUUCAUUAUGGUGGUUCUCACUUUUCUUUUUGGGAAGCAAUUCAAAUUUCAUGAUGUGAUUAAGGGGAGUAAAUUUGUCAAACGUUUUAACAUAUUCUUAGUCACCAAUGUCAAACUUUAAAACACAGUUUCUUCCAUCAUUAGGAUAUUCAGUCAAGCCUUCUAGGUGCAGUAGAGUAUGAAUGUGCUUUGUGUCGGUGGUCGUCUUAGUAAGAGUAACAAUGAGAAAAAAAUUGGUAUUUAGUGGAUGAGAUUUCUCAUCCUUAUCAAAAUUUAUUUUUUCUUUUUAAAUAAGAUAUUCAACAUUUAAACUAUCUCUAAGAUUUCAAGACUCAGUAUUGGCAUUAAAAAAUUUUCCACGUCCAGAUUUCUAAUUCUGGCUCCAAUACUGCUUUAUCCCAAAAGACUCCAAGGUCUGUUUGUACUCAAGUCAAAGGGUGUAUAAGCAAAUAUUACCGGAGAGUGCAACAAGAUCAAAAUUAUCGUUGAGGCCAACAUUUCUGAAUCUAUCUUUGAGCCUCUCAAGACUAUUGUUCGGUCCUGGAAGAUUUUCAUUUGCAAGAGUCCUGUUGGCUGUUCUGCUGUCUCUCCUUCCCAAUAGAUUUGUCCAUGAAGGACCCCCUGACUGAUACCAAAACCACGAUCAUUAGUCAAAAGAAUCACUUGAGAGAUGCAUAAUAAGCAAAUUUAACUAAAAUCAGAAAUAGACAUGCAAUUACUCUUUCCGACUUUAUUUGGCUAGUAUUUAUAUGGGUCUUUUUGCACCCAAAAUUAGCAGUUUCCCGACAUUACAAUUUUGAGUGAACGGUUCAACCAGACUGUAUCACAUAAAGAAGAUAUUUUCACGUAAAACUGAUGUGUCCUCCAUGAAUCUCAUCACUUUUUUUUUGGGGGGGUGGGGGGAAGGAGAAGCCUUCCCUUUUCAUACGGUAAAGUUUGUCCAGGCACUAUCACGAAGUCAACAUGGUAAUGUCGGUGGACUGUUGCCGCCUAAAACUAAGCAUGUGGAUUCAUUUAGUUAAGUACUCAGGGACUGAAAAUUCCAACACGAAUGUAAAGUCAGACUUACUCUCUGAUACCAUAGUAAUUUAAUCACUUUUAAGCUAAAAAUAUGUAGUAGAGCAAGAUGAGUUGUUAAUAGAAAUUCAUAUAUACCAGAGCAACAGAUUGUUCAGCUGCAAUAGUAAGAAUAUCAGCACAUGAAACAACGCCUGGACAGGCCCUUUCAACGGCAGCUUUCAUGUCAUCAACAACUUCAAAACCCCUCGCCGAAUUAUUAUUUGGCGCAGCAAAUUUCUCGCUUACUAUGGUAGUAGUAUUGUCCAGCAAAAUCGAUGCAUCACAGCCCUGAAAUAACAUUAAAAACUUGUUAUGAUCAACUGCUCUUGUAUCGUUAAUUUAAUAAUUAGGUAGAUUCUUCUUAUCUUACUAUUAAGAAAAUAAUGAAUAUUUGUGCAUUUUCUUUUUGGAUAAACAUACAUAUAUCCAAAUUGUCUUAUAUAAGUUUGUAAGACCAGGUUUCCCCCAUGAUGUAAGCUUUUCCUGAGCUUAAUUGUGACUGUUAGAAGUUAAGGAUAUAAGUGUACGUAGUUAUUUUCAAUCAUAUAUUACUAAUAAUGGACAUGUUACACAAGAUUUUUUAAAAAACUAUGCAAAACUCAGAUUAAAAGAGGACCUUAAUUCAUAUUUUAAAAUAUUAAUUGAAAAAGAAGAAAAAUCAAAGAGUAGAGAUUGAUUACAUUAACAAAACAGUCAUGGAAAUGAAGCCUGAUGAGGCUGGCACCGAUGCGAAUAUCGGACAAGAAAGCAUUCUUAAGCACCUCCCGAAUUAUGUUGGUUACAUUAGGGCAUGUGGAAUUAUAAAAAGAGGGAGAAAGUUGAGCUUGAGCUGGUGAUGAUCCCUCAAGCACAAAUGCAACUACAAGAGCAGCUGCAAGGAGAAAACGAAGAGAAGCCAUUUUGCAAUGAUGAGAAUGAGAGUUAUUUCUAAGCCUUCUAUAUAUGCGCCUCUUUAUUUAUAGCCAACCAAGCUAAACAGGAGUAGACUUGGGAACGACUAAGAAGUUUCACAUUAUAUUGUAAAAGUCCACAGUUUGAAAACAAAAGCUUAUAUGAUGAGAUAAUUACAUUAUCGAUUUUCUCCCUAAAGUUUGGUGAAAGCAUAUUUUUCUCCACAUAGUUUUGAGGUGUUAACGAUCAUUUAUUAUUUGCUUUUUAGUAUUGUAGAAGUAUGUCAAGUGUAUCUCGGUCGUCCCCCCUUAAAUACUCCAACCACCCCAUGAAUCGGUUAUUAAAUUAAAUUAAAAAUAUUUUACUUCUUCUUUUCAUUUAACUUAAGAGUAAUAGAAGAAAAAAGAUUUCUUUGUUCAUUGGAUAACGAACUCUUUUUAAAAUCAUGGGAUUUCUUUUUGAUUUUUUUUAGUCAUGAAAACUAUCUACAAAAAAACAUUAGAUAUAAUAGCUUCGGCCUUGUCCGCUUAUAGAGAGAGAACGAAAUCGGGAUAAAUACCAAUACCUAUUAGGGGUAGAAGAAUCGAGAUAAAAACAAAUAACUCUCGUGGUCCAGAAUAAAUAAAUAAAAAAAGUGUUUGGGGCAUUAAAUAGCUUGUACCCAUAGAACAUUUGGCGUAACAUAGAUAAUGAAUAAAUGGAGUUAAUAUCAUUCCAAUUGCCAUUACAAAAGUAUAAUUACUAUUUUUGGCAUAAAAAAAAAAUUGGCUGGUAAUUAUUCCAAAAUAUACUAUCAAUUCUGCAACAAAACCACUCAUAAGGCAAAGGUUCUUGUUUAGUGGAUGAGAUUUCUUGUCCCUAUUAGAACUUUUUUUCCUUUUUUCUUAUUAAACAAAAGAAAAGGUAAUAACAACACCAAUAUUAAAAGGAUGAACUUAUAUAAUUCAUCCUACUUCUAUCGCAAUUGGAUCUAACUUUCAAAGUGGGUAAAAUAUUUUUUUUAUCUUACAUGGAACUUAAAAUUCAAAUAAAUCUACAUGUUAAGGAAAAAAAGGAGAAUAAUUAAGUAAAUAAUUUUGACUAAGACAUAUAUUUUUAAAAUAAUUUUUUAAAAAUACAAAGUCUAGCUAGAUAAUUGACUCAAAUCUUAAGGAUCAAAAGAAAAUUUAUCCCAAAAAGAAAAUUGUGAGGAUAUUUCCACUCCGCUUUUUAUGUAACAACACCCUAUCUUUUUAUAUUUUUAUAAUUAUGAUUUUAUAAAUAAAUUAUUCGUAACUCGUGCACUUAUCCUUAAAUCAUAUAUGUUUAACCAAAGAGAAUGAACAGGAAUUUUCUACGAAAGAGUUAGAUUUGUUAGUUUAAAAAUAUACAAUAGUUAUCUUCUUCCUUUCCUUAUAUCUUUCAAGUAAUAAUUCGCUGAAUUGUGAGUGUAUAGUUUUGUGGAUGGAAAAUUAGGAUGAAUAUUCAAUUUCAAUUUUAAAAUUUUGUUUAUAUACUGCUGAGCUGGUUUCGUAACUGAUGAAAAAUUUGUUUUAUUAGGCAAGAAAAGUUUAAGAUUUUACAGUUAAAUUUUAUUUAUUUGUUUGUUUGUUUGUUUAUUAUUACUAGCAUUUUGAUUCAGAAACUACUGUCUGUGCAAUUAGAUGCUGCAAUGUAUGUCAUUUAUAUAUGGACAUGUCCCUCUUUUAAUUAAAAUGAUUCAUGGCAUGGCAAUAUUGGCAGACUCGUUUAUGCAUGUCCAUUUUGAUGCCAUUGAAACUUUAUUGAGCUACAAAGCAAGAAGUGUUUUUUGGCCAAACUUUGUGCAAAAAAAAAAAAAAAACGCAAUUGGCCCCUAUUGUAAUUUUCUGGUGACUAAGGGUGAGAAAUUAAAGAAGAAUAAUUCCCCCUUUGUAAUAUCCAAAAUUUCAUUUGUUUGUAAAAGAAAAUAAUAAUAAUAAAUAAAUCAGCUUAAAUUCUGAUCGACUUAAUUAGGGUUGAAGAAUUCAACUUUGAUAAACGAUAACGUUGGAUUUAGUCCAUGCCAUCGCCAUGCGAAUGUGGACUGUACGAGGCGUGUGGAUUCCACAUACUCGAAAGUCGAAACCUUUCAUUUCAAGCUUGUAGACUUUUAUCCUUUUUCUUUAUAUUGAAUUAUCAUUUUUGUCAGUUUAUACAUAAAUAAUUGAUUGAGACACACGGACCUUGUAACGUAGCAAAUGGGGAGCAUCCGCUCGUUGCAGGAGAGAGGAAAAGUUGCUAGAAAUUAGCUGAUACGAGGCCAGUUUGCACUGAACUGUUACAUAAAGAGUCUGUAACGUAGCUUUGUCCACACCGACAAUACACAAGUAGAGUCAAAUAAUUAAUUACGUGACGUGACGGAUGACGUUUUGAAAAUGAAAUGUUUUUGCUUUUUUUUUUUUUUUGAGAAUGGUAUGCUGUUAAUUUUUUUCGUAGUUGUUUUCACAACUGAAAAUUGAUAUUUAUUUGUGAUUUAAAAAAAUUGAUGUUUAUUUCAAAUCUCGCCUCUGAUAAAGUAUUUAAAAAAUUAUAAUCUAAAUAAAUAAAUACCAAACUGGCUUUUGAUUCCCGGAUCUUUUAUUUUAAGUUAAGAGAAUUACUAAUUGAACUGAUUUGAACGCACAAUUUAAAGAAUUUUUCAAUAAAAAAAGAGUAAUGAUAUAACUAUAAAUUUUUGUACAAAUUGAUAUGGUAUGAUAAAAUUAGUUGAAUUAAAUAUUUAUUAGUCUACAUAAUUUAUUUAUAUUUUUAUUCAAUUAAUAAAUUAAUGUCAUAUCAAUUUAUAUAAAAAUUUGUGGUUGUAUCAUUACUUAUAAAGAAAUAUGUUUAAUAUAGUAUUUGAAGAGAAAAUGUAAUGCAACAAGUACAAAAUCGUAAAAGCAACAUUAAUUUGUGGUGCUUAAGCUUUCAACUUUUCUUCAAAAAAAGUAAAAAGUAAAAAGUAAAAACACCAUUUCUGUCACUUUCCAUAAAUCCUUCAACAACCCACCGAAUUUUAUUCUGAUAUGUUUAAUUUAUUCUGAUAUGCACAGUAGGCGGACCGCUAUACUUGAGUCCACUUAAUAUAAUAUUUGAGGAAAGAAAAUGUGACGCAACAAAUACAAAAUCGUAAAAGCAACAUUAAUUUGUGCUGCUUAAGCUUUCAACUUUUCUUCAAAAAAAGCAAAAAGUAAAAACACCAUUUCUGUCACUUUCCAUAAAUCCUUCAACAACUCACCGAAUUUUAUUCUGGCCUUAUUCUAUCUUUCCUUUUUUUUUUCCUAUUUAAAUGGAAAAUGGUGUUUAGUUUAGUGAUGAGGACAAUAUCUAAUAUCCGCCAAAAAUAGAAAAAAUUAUCCCGAAACUACUUUUAAAGAACUUUGGGAUAAUUAAUUAAAUGUAAUUGAUCAUUUUUCACAUCUUAAACUUUAAACCCAUAAAAAGUGAGACUCAUAUAUAAGUGAGUUUAGACUAUUUUUUUUAUGUGAUAAGAACUAAAAGAAAAUGUUCAACUUACAUGUGACAAUGAGUGAUGAGGAUUGAAGCAUAUCUCACGACUUAUCUGUAGCUAAUAAAACUAUAGCAUUUUUCAUGCUCUUGUACGUGGAGACUCGUAAAUAUUCUGAAUUCACUUGUAUGAACAAAUCUGAAUUACCUUCACAUUUCCAAAAUGAAUACUCCUAAUUGAAAUAAAAGCGAAAAGAAAAAAACAUAAAAAUUAUAUGUUCUAAAACUUCAAAAAUUUCUUGGAAAUAGUUAAAAGAAUCAAAUACAUUUGAGGCAUCAAACAACAAACUUCGACCAUAAUCGGAUUGAUUUUGCAAUUAAACACAACGGAUUUUGUUUCUAUAUAUCACCGAAAGUUUAAAGACUUAACAUAUUAUAUGAGUAUUGUAACUCAAUUAGUUAUUUCCCCCACAAAAUGCAUGUCCUACGUACAUCAAGAUUCUUUUUUUUUUCCUCGGUCCUGUCCUUGAAUUUUGUACUGAGCUUAAAAAUGGUUUUCAAUUUUUCCUUUCCCCUCCUGCUCUUAUUAAUAUUAUUAUUAUUAUUCAGCCUCCUGGUAUGUAACUAAAACCAAAAAUGUCUGUGGUAUCAUUAUUUGCAGUUUAAUUAUAUUUAAAAUGAGACGAUUGAAUAACGCGUGUUCAUGAACUGUAUAUAAUAUAAUAUGAAUAUGAUUACGAAAUUACCUGAAAUUGAAGGAACUGAUAACGUCUAAGUACAUAAUCUGUGUAAAUAAUAUUAUAUGGGAGACUGCCGACAAUCUUUGUCUAUAAUUCAUUGUGCAUAUGACCCUACGUCAAGGAAAAUUAAAUAUAGAAUAUCUAAUAUCUCUAUCCACAGGCAAACCAUUUCAGGAUUUUCUGGUUAACUUUUUAUUCAAAGCUUUGAGAUAUGAGUAAAUUAUAUUUGGCCAUUAUGUCAACAAAAUAUGUCUUUUUCUUUCUGGCUUAGAUUGCAAUUAUUGUACUAAUAUUCCUAAAUGAUCUUAAAACUAAAAAUUUGUCGAAUGACAAGAUCUUAGUUAGUUGUUUGCUUGUCAAUAAAUUUGUUAACCUGUUUUGUAAUCUGAUGACUAAGCUGUAUAUCUUUUGCUCACUCAAAUACGGGCAAAUCUUCAAUGCUUGGAAACUCUUAUUAAUAAAGAAAUGCAAAUAGCUCUUUUCAAAUUAAAUAAAGACCAAUUACCCAACAAAGCUUACUAUUUUCUUAUGUAACGUGAUUGUGCUAAUAAAGUUAGGUGGGGAGAAGAUAUCUAUAUACCUAUCUGGAUGCAUGCGCCUGUUUGGACGGUAAGAAAAUGAUAGAAAUUAAAUGCCAAAGAAAUAGAUGAUGAAAAGAAAGAGGAUAUAUUGUUGAUAAUUGUAUGAGUUGACUAGCCCAUUUUACACGUGGAAAGUGGCUUCGGUUGGUGCAUGCAUGAGAUUUGUUUGAUUUUGGAUGAUGAUUUCAAUCAUUCGGUUUGAAUUUAAGAUUUCAAUAAGUUAGAAAUAACGAUGCGGCACGCUAUACGCGUGGAAUAUAUCUCCCUUUGGACCUUUACUUUUUCACGAUUUCAAUUAAUCAAUCUUGUAAUUUAUUUAUAUCUUUAUGUGAGCCAAGUGUACAAGGUACGUAUAUUUUAAGAAUUUUAAAAAGGCAGUAGCAAACAGAUUUUUAAAUUUUAAUUUUGAUAAUAAAUUUCAUCCUUAAUGCAAUUCUACCUAAGUAGUUGUGUCUGAUUUACUUUUAAAUUCCAACAAGAACAGACAAGUCUAAUUACCUACUUCAAGUGAAAAAAGUGCGUUGAGUGAAUUUCGACAUAAAUAAGGAUGGUUUGAAUAAUUUUUAAAAAUUCAUAAGCUAAUUGCAUAAUUAUCCGAAACCUAAAAUACUAAAAGAGUGUUUACCCAAAAAAGCUAAUUAUCUAUUGCACUAAACUAAAAGCUCUUAAUACUUUCUAAUCGCCAACGUUCUCCGAAUUUCCCAGUCCACAAUUUAUGCAUUCUCAGUAAUUUCAAUCUUUGCUACUGAACGUGAGAAACCAACUUGAUUCAUUUUAGUAUUCCAUUAUUUUAAUUAAAUUUGAUUAGAAGGAGAUGAUGGUGACAAGUAACAAGAAAGAUUUUCAUUAUAAUGAAGAUUUGGUGAUUGAAAUUCUUUGUAAAAUCUAUUUGGCGAUUCAAGUUUGUUUGUAAAUCUUAGUAUUGUUUAAUAUACGGGAAAUCUAAGUUUCAUAAAACACUUAAAAAAUGUCAAAACCCGUCUAAUUUGUCAUUUAGAUAGUUAAGAAUGGUGAUUCAUAUGACUAUCCUAGAAAUUUCUUUUUUUUUAUGCUUCUUGAUGAUAUAGUGAUAGACCUAUCAUUGCAAUAUCUUGAUGAGCAUCUCCUCAAGCCUGUUAUUGGAGUCCAUGUUUUGUAUUAGUAUAUUUUGAGCUUAAUGUUGCGGACCACCCAAAUUUUCAGCCCAAGUGCCCAAGAAUUCAAGCUAAGAGCCCAAACAUAGGCCAAGAGUGCUAGCUUGACCCGAUUCUAAAAUUUUUUAACAAACUCUAGCACAUCUCGAGCUUGUACAUAUUUAAAAGUGGCAUGUGGCUAUGCAAGAUAACUAUAAUGCUUUGCAGAGAAAUGAUACUUGGACAUUGGUUCCAACUGAGAUAGCCACCAAACUUGUUGGAAAUAAGUGGGUUUUUCAAGUUAAAUACAACCCAGAUGAUGGCAUUUCAAAGUAUAAAGCUCAACUAGUUGUAAAAGGAUUUCAUCAAAAUUAUAAAAUAGAUUUCUUUGAGACAUUUAGUCCUGUUGUAACCCUGCACUAUUCCAUUUGUUCUCAACUUGGCAGUCAUGAAUCAUUGGCCUAUACGGUAAUUAGAUGUCGAUAAUGCUUUUUUAAAUGGCCUACUUACUGAAGAUGUGUUCAUGCUUCAGUCAGAAGGCUUUAUUAAUCCUCAAUUUCCCAAUCAUGUUUGCAAGUUGAAUAAAACCCUUAUGGCCUUAAACAAGCCCCCAUGGUUUGGUAUGAUAGAUUAAAAGGAUCUAAUUCAAUGAGGAUUCAGGUCUUCCAAGUUAGAUACUUCCUUAUUUUUCAAGCAUAUUAGAGGUGAUAUUUUAAUUAUUCUUGUCCGUGUGGAUGAUAUUCUGAUAACAAGUUUAAGCAAUGCUCAGAUAACAGAGGUUAUUAAUCAGCUUGGAUUAGAAUUUGCUCUCAAAGACAUGGGGGAUUUCAAAUAUUUUCUUGGAUUAUAAGUGACUCCGUCUAUUGAUGGCCUACAUCUAUCUCAAACUAAGUUUGUUGGAGAUAUCUUAAGGAAAGCUUACAUGUUUGACAGUAAAGGUUGUAACACGCCUACAAGUGUUGCUGAUAAAUUGUAUGUUUGAAAAUCAUUCACUUUAUAGAAGCAUUGUUGGUUCUCUACAAUCCUUAACACCGACCAGUUUAGAUAUUGCAUUUACAAUCAAUAAGUUAAGCUAGUUUUUUACUGCUCCAACUACUUUACACUGGCAGGCCUGUAAAAGAGUGCUGAGAUAUUUGCAAAGUAUAACACAUUUUGGACUUCAGUUCUUCAACUCAAGUUCCCUAACCUUGAUAGCCUAUUCUAAUGCAGAUUGGGGGUCUGAUCCAAAUGACAGAAGAUCUAUUGGAGGAUAUUGUGUUUAUCUUGGAACUAAUCUUGUGUCCUGGUCAUCUAAGAAACAACAUAUUAUCUCUAAAUCAAUUGUUGAAUCCGAAUAUAGAGCUUUAGCAUUAGCCACAUCUAAAAUUUUGUGGAUCACUUGUCUUUUAAAGGAACUCAAGUAUCACUCAACAAGUCUCAUGUUCUUCACUCUGAUAAUAAACUGCAGAAACUUUGGCAAACAAUCCUAAUAUCAUUCUAUAACUAAGCAUAUAUAAUUGGAUCUUCAUUUUGUUAGGGAACAUGUUGCAAAUAAGGAAUUGGUCAUUGAACAUGUAUCUAGUCUUGAUCAGUCAGUUAAUGUGCUUACAAAGCCUCUUCGUUUUGACGAUUUUGCUUAAUGAGAACUAAAUUCAAUGUCUGUUCAAGACCUUGAGAUUACGGGGGUGUGUUAAGAAUUAAGUGCCGAUUCAUCAGAGCUGAGCUGCAUAGUAUCGUUGCUGAAUAUCCACGUUGGAAGGUCAUUAUGCAUAUUGUUGAAAGCUAUAGUUUCCCUCUAAAAGUUCGUUAUGUAUAGAUGCAUGUGAGCACACGAGUUUGUUGCUUUUAGAAGAUUGUACACACAACCAUAUGCAGAGCAUUGUAAUCUCAAAUUACAGUAUGUGAAAUGAAUAUUUUUUGGUUUCUAAUUUCUCUCAAUCAAUAAAUUCUCUCUCUGUUUUCUAAGUAAAUAAACAGAAUUCUCAGAACAUAAUUAAAUAGACAUAUGAGGAUUUUGACACGAUAUAGGAAAAGUUAUGUCCGCUCUCCAAAGAUUAUAGGGGUGCUUUGCUCUUCAUGACGUCAAGUUUUCAAUGAAAUGAAUCAAAUAAUAACCUAUUUGGCAUCGUUAAUCCUUGGCUUGUAUCAAAUUUUUGUGAAUUUCAAUUUAUCAAUAGUUGUUCUGUAAGUUGAUCGAACACAUCCGUUGUUAAAACUUGAUAUUAACGAACGUGAAGUCGAUAGCUACGCUUAAUUAACACUUUUUCUUUGCCUUUCUUUUUGACGUUACCCAUCGUGCAGCUGAAAACUCUUUGCAAGCCAAUUUGCCAAUAAGUUACCCGAAAGCAAUAGAAGUUUAUAAUGUUAACCCGAACAAAUGUGACGAUUUUCUGUAGAAGUCACAUGAAGUUAAACUUACUUUAACAUACAUUAAUAACAUAUUAACUUGAUGUCGCAGAUUCAGGGUUCCUUACGUUGCUAAAUAAAAAAAAUGGCUAUAAGGAUCUUUUAAAAGUAGUAAUUACAUGCGUGGAUGCCCAAACGAAGCAAGAAAUUUCAAUCCAUGGCAACAAUACAAAAUUGAUGGGAAGAGAUGCAAAUGUGAAACCAUCAACAUAUCCGGCCCAAUUAAGGGACUGUCUCCUCUGACGAAGUAAAAAAUAAUCUGAUUUUGGUGCCAGUAAGAAUAUUGUACAACUAGUUUUAGAAGUGGCAAUUUGGGCUAGGAUUCGUUUAUUUGAUUCGAUUCGAUGCAAAUUAAAUGGGUUUGGAUUUGAAAAAAUUGUUUCGUUUAAUAAAUAGGUGAAUUUGAUUUGAUUUGCUAAUUAAAUGGAUCUAAUCCGGGUUUGAGGAUAUUGAUUCAUUGAUUUAAGGAUUCAUUUAGUAAGUGAGUUAUAAACGAAUCGAAUAUAAUUCAUUCAUUUAAAUUCAUUUAAUUAAAUUAUUUAUUUAUACUUAGUAUGAAAAAAACUUAAAGUUUGAAAGCUAAUAUAAUAAUUAUAAAUGAUAAUAAGUUUGUAUUUUGUAGGAUGUUAAAUUUAUGCUCUUUUUAUAUUUUAUUUUGUUUAAUUUUUAUUUAUCUAUUAUAUUUUUGUAAAUAAAUUCAUAUUCAAUUUAUUCCUUAUAGGAUAAACGAAUUGUAAAGGAAUCCAAAUUCGAUUUGAUUCGUUUAUUAAUUCUACUAAAUAAAUUAAACGAAUCGAAUCGAAUAUUCGUUUAAUAACCGAAUCAAAUCCAAAUCAGUAAAAUUUUGAGCCAAUUUAUUUACAAUUCGAUUAGAAUAUGAUUUGUUUAUUCGUUUAUCCAACACUAACUAGUUUAUUGUGUUUUUUAUUAAAUAUUACAUAAAUUACUCACUAUCAACCUUAUAUUGUACUUAUAAUUUUUUUAUUUUACUUUAGCUGGACAAUGUGUCAGUAAACUAAUUUUCGUAGCUCUCUAUAUGGGGUUUUGAAUGUAAAAUGAUAAAAUGCUUUGACAUACAAAUAUGGUUGGAAAAGUAUCAUAAUAAUUUACUAUUUUAAAGCAUAAUUUUGAGUGGAUGUACUUUGUAUAAGUGAAAGAUAAUAAGGUGUACUUUUAUAUUUAAAAUGAUGCUUGGGUGAAUAACAACGCACAAAUUACACCAUUGAUUGCAUUGAGUAAGAGUUGGAGCUACAAAAAAUUGUAGCAGCUAGUUAAAUUUAAAAUUAAUUACGAAAUCAAUUCCAGAAUAUAUCACUUUUAACUGCCAAGUAAUUCAGAAUUUAUAAUACCCAAUUAAAUUUAUAUUUUAAUAUGAGAUUAAAUCCCGAAUUUAAGACGUGGUUAAUGAAGCCGCAGUUACAUUUUGAAUUUAAUUUAAGAGUUAAAUAAAAGGUUUAACGAGCAACAGUUAUACUUUUAAUUAGCUACGGUACUUAAUAAUAAGAAAUUAAAUACAUCAGUUACAAAAUUUUAGCAGUCAAAUUUGUGGAUAAAAAUGCCUCUCAUACAAUUCUAUGAAUUGACAUUCUUCAUCAUUUCAAAAAAGUGGCUAGGAACAAUAUAAGACAAAUAAGGAUAGAAGAAUAAGAAGAGAAAAACUUCAAUGCCUCCUUUGUCGGAGAUCCAAUUUUCAUAAAGUUUAGACACAAUGGAAGUUUUUUGUACAAUAACCUCUUGGUGCACCUGAAUUAUUCAUUACCAUUGUCUCUUGAAAAAUAGGCGCUAUUCAAAUCCUAAAGCACUUGAGAGCAGGAGGCAAAUUUGUUUUAAUGAAGCUAUAAUAUCAUGCAGGUAAGGAUGACAAAUUACGAGUUUAUGCUGAGUUUUUUCAAGCUCAUGUCUAAGUCCAUGUUAUUAGUAAUAGGUCCACACCCUCUAAAAGUCUAUCCAAACUUGGACAAUCUGAGCCUGCACUGGACUUGUGCUUCCAUUAAUUUUUUAAAUAAAUUUUUAAUAAAGCAAAAAGUUAAAAAUAAAAUAUUUAAAUUAGUAAUGAUUAUUCAAUACAUAAUCGAUAAAUAAUCAAAUACAACCAUUAACUAAGCCAAUUCACAACUAGCUUUAAAUUUUUUUACCCAUGUCCAUGGCAUCACGAAACAAGCUGGGCCUAAAGUCCAUGACCCUAAGUUGGGCCGACCCUAACUUUUUUGCCCACCCUACAUCGAGGCCUUGAUUUACAUUCUAUUUUUAUAUCAUAUUUUCUUUGUUAUCUCAUUAUUGUAAUCACUAUUUUAAAUAGUAUAACAUUGUUUUAACUAUAAUCAUUGUUAUUUAUAAAGUCCCAAUUUAUAAUUUGUAAUUUCAGAAUGCAUUCCUCCUAUUCCAUUGUAUUUCCCCUAUGAAUACUUGGAAAAUGGUAGAAGCUAUUGGACCAAAAAAUUAACACCAACUCCGAAUUUUGUUACUAAGAUAUAAAAAUUCUUAGUUUCCUAUAGUUACAAAACCACAUAUAAGUAAAAAUUUCAAGUCCAUCAAUGUCAAAAUUUGGUAAAAAUUCAAGGAUCAUCAUUACCAAGUACGCUGUGAUUUUAUUUUCAUUAGUUUGCCGAAAGCUUUGAAACAAUUUAUUUUUUUGCCAAAAUAUGAAUCCGACGGUAUGAAACAAAGCACCAUUAUCAUAUUUUUUCAGAAAAGAAUCUUGGCCUAUUUGUUCAAUACAUCAUCUUCUUCCUUAAUUGAUAUUCGACUGAACAGACUCUCUUCAAAUUUAUGAACUGACAAGUGAAAACUUCUUAGUCCAAUUCUCCAAGAUCUCUCAUUUUUCCCGGGGAGUGGAAUUGAAGAGUCGGAUUCUGAAAAAAAUCCAAUUGGCAAAUAUUUGAUAUUAACGAAUAAAAAUUCACCCCAAAUCCUCUCUUUCAUCACCUAUAUUUAGGAAUGACAAAAAUCUCCAUGGGGUCGGGGGGGAUUUUCCCCAUUCGAGGAGGGUAUGAGGAUAAUUUUAUACCUAAUUUUUUAUUCGGAGAAGGGACGGGAAAAUUUUUUUACUCAACUUCUUAUUCGGGGAGGGGAUGGGGAUGAGGUGGAAUCCCCAUCCCCUACCCAUUUCCCCAUUUUAAUUUUAAUUUUAAUUUUUUAAAAUUACUAGUAAAUAAAUAAUAAAAUUUGAAUUAUAAAAUUAUAAAAAUUGGUAGAAAGAACAAAUAUCAAAAUAUUUAUAUUAUUAAACUUUUAGGCCUAAUUAACUAAUUAAAGUCAUAAAUUUUUGUUUAGGACAUUAAAAAGACUGGAUAGAUUCUAUUAGCCCAAAAAUUUAUUUUAAUUUUAAUAUUCAUUAAAUAUUUUAAACUUAAAUAUAUUUUUUAUUUAUUUUUAGAUGUUAUAAUUGCCCACAGCGAAUCACAAUUUUAAUAUCUAAUUUAAUUUAAUCUAAUAUUUGCUCUUGAUUUGCUCUGACUUAACUAUUGUGCUGUAAAGGGAAUAAUCCACAUUUAUAAAGUGCCCACGCCACCAUUGAAAAAGUUAAUUUUGAAUCUAAAUUUGAUUUUAUUUGUAACAAUUUGUAUUAGACUAUUAAUUUAUUCAUGAUAGUUUGUAUCCCUUGCAUGCUGCGUUACUUACUAAUUUAAUGUUUGUGACUUUUGUAAUGGAUAUUAAUGUAAGAUAUUUUUCGAACUUUACUUUUAUUUGAAUUUUUUAUUUUAAUAUGAUUAACUCAAAUCGAAAAUAAAAAAAUGUAUUAGUUAUUCGGGGAUCGGGGACCUUCGGGGAUCCCCUAUUAUUAUUCGGGGAGGAGAUGAGGAUUCUCUUAAGUAAUUCUGAUGGGGACGGGAAGGGAAUGGGGACAUACGCAAAAUAUCGACAAUGGAUACAGGGAGAUUGGUCCCCUCCCCUCCCCUCCCCUCCCCAUUGCCAUCCCUACCUAUAUUUCAACAUUAGCAUUAAUGGUAUUAAAAAAUAAUAAAGAUAGAUUGUCAUCGUAUAUGUCAAGUGACACAGAAAAUAAAAAUAGGAGGAUAUUGAUAAAACAACAAUAUAAAAUGAACAAUGUUGAAUAAUAUAAAUGACAUUUGGAACAAAAAUCAUAAAUGACAUUUGCGGUUUUGAUCUUGGUAUGGGCUUAAGUCCACCCAAAUUGCUAAUCAAAGGAUGCAAUUCCUUAUGAGCUGAUCAUUUACAUCCUUCCAAGCACUGUGAGAUAUUACAUGUCCUAAUUUCGUACAAAAAACAUUGGAUUGUGUGUUUCUAUUUAUAAGUGUGCAGGUUUUGUGUUUUCUGUGAUUUCUUGAAUAAGUAUGUAAUAAGACUGCAAUAAAAGAUUUUCCCAAUUUUACUUCUCAAUAUGUUCAUUAAUUGGAUCAAAUGAAAUCAUGCAUGAACUCUUAUGAUAACAUUUUUUGACCAACAUUUCUCAUUAUUGGUUUUGGCAGUCUCUUCUUUUAGCGAACACUGGCAACACAACAAGAAAAUUAAAAAAAGGGGGAAACUGUUAAAUUCAUAAUCGCCUAUUUGGUUAAUUUGAUGUAUUUACGUAACUUAUAUUACAGUAGUUUCUAAAUUAACCAGCCUAUCUGGUUAAAUUAAAAAAAAUUAAUGUACUUAGAUAAUUAAUAAUAUAUGUAAAAUUACUAAUAUAACCUUUUCCUAAUGCGGUUCUGGUACGCGUUUCCUACUACAGUUUUAAUUUCAUUUAGGAAACUAGUUUCCUAUUCAAUUAGGGUAAUUGUUAUUACAUAUAUAUAUAUAAUGGGAAUAGGAAACUAUUCCCUAAUUCAGUACGGCAAGUUAUUGUCACAUUAUAAAUAUCCGUACAGAAAAAAAUUUGGUUCCAUAUAUCGCACUGAAAAAAAAUGGAGCAAUACGAAAAGAUCAGGGAGCUUGGGUCGGGGAGUUACGGCGACGUGUUUCAGGCUCUUGAUAAAAAGAGUGGUGAAUUUGUUGCUGUCAAGAAAUUGAAGAAGAAGAUUUUUUCUUUGGACGAGAGCAGGAACUUGAAAGAAGUUAAAUGUUUAAGGAAGAUGAAUAAUCAUCCCAACAUUGUCAAAUUGAGGAAUCUUGUCAAAGAACACGAAGACGUAUUCAUUGUGUUCGAGUACAUGGAAUCUGAUCUUCUAAAACUUAUGAAAGAAAGAGCGGGUCAAAAUUUCUCUGAAGAUGAAGUCAGAAACUUGUGUUUCCAAGUGUUUCAAGGUCUCCAUUACAUGCACCGACAGGGUUAUUUUCACCGUGACCUAAAGCCUUCCAACUUGCUUGUUUCGAAAGGUGUGAUCAAGAUAGGGGAUCUUGGAAUGGUGAAGGAAAUUGAUUCCAGUCUGCCGUGCACUGAUUAUGUUACAACUCGCUGGUAUCGAGCUCCUGAAGUGUUACUUUUAUCCGAGAUAUAUGGACCUGAAGUGGAUAUGUGGGCGAUGGGUGCUAUUAUGUUCGAGAUGUUGAGUUUCAGGAUUCUUUUUCCGGGAAAAAAUUCAGCUGAUCAAAUUUACAAAAUCUGCCAAGUGAUUGGUAGCCCCACCGAGGAUUCUUGGCCUCUUGGAAUUCAACUCGCGAGCAAUCUCGACUGGAAGUUCCCGCAGAUGGGUGGUGUGAAUCUGCGUGAGUUGUCACCAUCAGCUAGUCGAGAAUCCAUCAGCUUGAUUUCACGGCUUUGUUCCUGGAAUCCACACAUGAGGCCUACGGCUGCGGAAGCUUUGGAACAUCCUUUCUUCCGGAGUUGCCAUUUUGUUCCUCGAUCGGUGCCUCUUCUUUGCAAUAAUUUUGAAGCCGUUGCGUUCCCUACUGCCACAGUCACAAUGCAAGGACGUUCUUUGACAUAUUCUGAGGUACCGAAUGAUGGGCAAUUAUGUCCGUGCUUCAAAUGUGAGAUGCAAAGAAAUAACAAUGAUCAAUGGAUCAUCAACUCUGCCAAAUCGGCAACCUCCAUGAUUUAUAAAACUGGUCACCCGACUACAACUGAGAUUUUGGCUUCCCGCAUGCAACCAUUGCAGCAGCUGAUGAUGUCGAGGCCUCCCGGAUUUUGAAGAAAACGUUAAGGCUGGUUAUUGUAUUUGUACUUAGAACCUAACCACGUACGUACUAAUUGUACUGUCAAAGAUUAUUCAAUGCAUCGAUAUUCAUCUCCUCAACUUCCCUAUUACCUGUUACGUUGAAUUCAAUGAGUGUAAGUCCAUAAGCAAAUACAUACACGCGCGCGCGCGCAUACAUACACACAUAAAUACACACACACACACAUAUAUAUAUACAUACAUACAUACAUACACACACACACACACACAUAUAUUAUUACAUACAUGUAUGUAUGUAUAUAAACCACUACCUGAACAGCCUUUACAAAGGCUGCUAAGAAUAGUUGGAAGUAGUUCACUGUACCCAAGCUAAUAAUUUCAUUUUGAAUGAGUAAUUCCGUAUCGUUUGGAGUGCUGAUGAGGUAACACCUCACUAUAAUGCAGUCAUUAAAAUAUAAAGGGUAGCCAUGCAUCCUCUCAAAAGCUAUAAGAUUCCUGUAGAAAGGCUUUGUCUUAUGAAAAUAUACCGUUAGAGAUAGAAUUUCCAGAAUUCCUUGAUUAAAUUUAAUGUCAAGUAGAUUUUUGCUUGACCCCGUUUGAAACUUGACUCCGGCUUGGUGAAGUUACUUUACACUGGGUAUCUUUUGAUCUUUCAAUUCAAUUAUGGCACGCGGCUGGGAUGGCGGAAGACAGAGUAUAAGCAAGUCAACAAAAUGCUGUGCUCUGAAAAAGUGGAUUUCUAACAAGUUCUCCUGUAUUGGAAGAAAUUGAAGCAUAUCUGCACGGAACCAAUAACAGGUAAUUGCAAUAAAGGGAAUUUUUCGGUACAAGUCUGUUGGACCAAGAUCAGCAAAUAACCGAUCUUGAUCCCCCAAGAUCCACUCGACUUAGCUUUAAUCAAAGAACCAACUAUGAUCCACUAAAACUUUAUGAAACCACAGAUUCGAAUCAACAGAUAGCAAGCUUAAAGAAGAGCAAAAACAAUCACACACGAACACAGAAGAGUUAUAAUGGUUCAGCCACCAGGUGACCUACAUCCACUGUAAAAGAGAGAGAGAACUUUCACUGAUUUGGUGUUUUCAAGAUACAAGCAAUCUGAGAAACUGUCAUACACUAAGGCUAGCCAAAACCGAGACCAUGAAGCCUUAUAUACACGCCUAGAUUGCUCUAGAAACAACCCCCAGAAGCCAGUGUUACAUCCCUGGGUUUGUUAGUAACAAACCCAGAAUUUUCCCGCUUCUAUUAAUGGCAUUAACAGCUGUUUUUUCUUUUUUGUCUGAACUACGAGGUGGUUUUGAGUGAGCCCAAUUGUAGGAGGCAUCUUUAAGCUAGUACCACAAUUCAGAUUAAUCUCCGCUCGCACUGGAUUAGCUUGUAAGGAGUAAAAUACUGGCCAAAGUGGUGACUUCAUACGAGAGCGGGGUUUGAACCCCUGACCUCUCUUAAGAAGUGAGAGUGACAGACCACUCACACCAACCAACUUUGGUUGGCAUUAACAGUUGUUUAAACCAGCCUAAAAAACACGUGUUGCAGCUUCAUCCAAAACGCAACCUUUCUUUGCCGUUUAGAAUACGUGAAGUCAUGUGCCUCAACGUGUGCUUAACUUAUUCACUUGGCUGAUCUACCAGGCUUGUCAUAAGUCUCCCUUUUGCUACUCAACCGACAUAUCUUCCAAUCUUGGAACACAAGAUUGACAUGUCAUAUUUAACCACAAUUCCAGAUUUGUGGUUCGCUUCUCAACAAAGUCAUUUUGAUUGGUUGCUGUUUUGGCUACAUUAAACAAGUCAUUGAGGUCAUUGAGAAUGAAUGGUGGAAGCCGAUUUUCUAGCAGCAGAGAGUCGUGCCGUAUUUCCAAGUACAAAUUCGAUUUUCCAAUUAUGCGAUCAUCAUCAGUUCUCAAAUAAGGUUCAAAAUAUCUAAGAAAGAGCUCAAUGAGAAGGACAGCAUCCACUAAAACCAUUUUUGCCAACUCAUUGCAAUUAAGAGGAAUGGUUUCUGCAUAAGAAUUGCGCAAUUUUGGUUCCCUUUCCUUAAUAAAUGCAAAGAAACUUGCCAUGCGUACCUUAGUUGUUGAAGAAAGUAUGUUAGGUAUCCUUUUUUGUGCUCUUCCAUGGCUUUUAGCUGUUCCUUUCCAUGAUGAAACGGGCCAAUUGAGAUCAUUUUUUAGUGUAAUCACUUGGAUGUAGACGCCGCGUGUCUCAGGAACUCUGUAGAUGGAACACUUUCCGGAUAAGGGAUGCAAUGGCUUCAGUUCCCUACUGAAAGAAUCUGCUAAUUUCUCCACUUCAAUUGAUACAUGCUCUUGAGCUUGCUCCCUAUCAUCCGCAUAUAUUCAAUCGGUUGCUAAAAGAAGCAUAAUGAAAUAAACAACACUCGCUUGGAAAAAUUUUAGUUGGGUGCUCAGCUCAUUUUCUAUCUGCUCCUUGCCAAGUGUAUGUUUCAAGAAAUUUUGAUAAUAUUGAUACACAUAUAUUUAUAAUGAAUGGAUAAGGAGUAAUCCUUCAAGAACACCAAAAAUAUAUCAACGUAGUGUGUGUAUAAAUUAAUUAGAUAAUUAACACAAAAGUUAAGACAAAAAAAUUGAAUACUCACAUCGCUUUCUGUGUGACCUCCGUAUUAGUUGUGGAUGAACAAACACAAUGAUAUAUAUGAUCGAUCUAGUCCACUGUAUAAAUUGGUUUAUAUAUAUAUAUAUAUAUAUAUAUAUAUGGAGUGAGAGCGAGAGAGAGAGAGAGAUUCGAAUAAAUUCAUAUUGAACAUCAAUUCCUUUCUUCGGACAUAGCACUUCUCUUGUCCUUUAUGGAAUCUCUUUCACUAAAGUCAAAAGUGUUGGCUUAUUGAUUCCAAUUUAAUGAGAUGCAUGCUUUAAGCAUUAUUAUUGAAAUCGUUUAAAAUUACGAAAAAGAAAGUCGAGAACAAUGAUUAUACUUGCCGUUAGAGAAAUCGUUUGACACAAUAGUACGAGAAGUACGGAAGCAAGCCCCUGUGAAUUUUAGGUGGACCUCAUGCCUUGUAUCAGACAAGAAGCAAUGACAAAGGACAAAUGUACAAAAUUGGGAUCUGAAUAAUGACAUAUGUAUAUUAAUACAUACAAUAAAAUUAAUUGAAGUAAAUGAUUUGUUUAUUAGCCCUUUUGCCAUAUUUUUGUCCUCAAUUUGUACACAUACAAUCUAAUUUAGCACAACUAAAUUGUCUAGUAAUAUAGUGUGAGUCCACUCGUAUAAGAGUUAGGUAAAUCAUUGAAAGAAAAUCUAAAACUGAAGAUUGCCAAGGCUUAGCAAUCAUAAUAGUAGCCCAAAAAUUUUGAUUUAUCCUGUCUUGAAUAUUCUCUCAAUUAAAUGACACCUCUAUCAAAUGUGCAAAUGCUUCAUUAUGAGAGGAUCUUCUUCAGCUUAUUUAAGACGCCUUGCAUCGUAAUAAUAGGUCAUCAUAGUAGGUUUUACCAUUUUAUAUCAUACAUAUUAUACAUACUAGAGCUUCUUGGGGGGAAAAAAAUCAACAGGUGCCUAUAGAUUUCUAAAUACUUAAAUAAAAAUAAAACUUUGAAAAAAAUAAUAACAACCACCACAUAUCUAAACCGAUCGAGAGAAAUUUGUCCUUAAACGAAAGCAAAUUAGAAGAUCUAAUAAAAUAAAGAAUCAUUUGCUUUUCCGACAGUGAGAGCCAAAGCAAGUUCGGUUCGUAAGAGGAAGCUGAGAAAGGAGGGAGAAGUUGAGGGUGAGGAAAUGAUUUGGCAGGCUCCACAUGAUUAGUGACAAGAUUAUAUAAAAGCUUUGAAGAGUGAGUGUUUGAAGAGAAGAUUUCUUAGUUUGAUCAUUUAUACAAACUAAGAAAAGAAAAUUAAAAUAACAUGAAUUAUUCUGGAAAAAAAGAAGGGACUAAUUGGGUAAUCUUUCAUUUGCAAUUUAUCUCCAUGAUUUCCUCAAUGAACUAGCCGAUUGAGGACUCUGUUGAUUUGCCUUGAUUGUCUGCUUUAAGAAUGAUUGAAAGACCUUAGCUAAAGCAAUGCAAAAUGCCAUAUUUGAUUUAGCAAGAUUGUUUCCGUGAGUGUUACUUUGAAUUCUGACGUUAUCAGCUAUUUGACUUUUUUAUUAUUAUUUUUUUAACAAAGAAAAUUAAAUUUCUUUGCACCCAAAUCAUAAUUUAUGCUCUUUCAAUGUACCCUAAAGAGGUUAAAAAACAAAAAAAACAAAAACAAAAAAACGAAAAGGAGAAAAACAAGGAAAAACUUAUGAAAGAAGUUAUUUCGCUUUGGGAAAAAAAAAACAGGAGAAUUGACUGGGUUUGCUCCCCAGUUCGAGUCGCAGGGAAGUCACCUUUGUUGGGAGAAUCUGUGCCUCUCGAUUCAAGUGGGGACUUCUAGUCUGGGUUGUGGUACGGGCUUAAAAGUGUCUCUCACAGUUGGGGCCCUCCCCAAGAUACCUCGUGGUCAAAACCAAAAAAAAAAAAAACAGGAGAAAGAGAUGCCACACGUAUAUUUCUUGGAAUUCAUUCAACACGUGCAUUAUAAUUCGAUUGGAUAAAAGGUAAAUAUGACAAGAAUUCAAAUUUGUUAAAUAUGUUUCACUCUAAAGGAAUUAUAAUUUAAUUAAAGAUGAAUCAAUUAAAAAAAAAAGUGUCGAACAAUCAUAGACAGAAAAAGUAGGAGAAUAAUUUUAUUAAAAAUUUAAAAGACAAAAAAUGUUAAUGAGAUCACAACCUUAUUCAUAGUAGACUACAUAUUACCAACAUAACGAACACCCAAAAAAAGAAAAAGAAAAAAAAGAAAGAAAACACACGCACUCACAUACAAAUACACAGACAUUAGAUAUACAGUAACUUCACCAUGGCAAAGUUGAGUAUAUUCUUGCAUAAAAUCAUAUCUCAGUUAAGGAAUUAACUGCCCUGCAGUUCUUCCUAAUCUCACCAUUAGUCCCGGUGAGUGGACUUACAUUCCCCAUUUUGAUCAUAGAAUUAACAAAAUUAGCAAAGAAAAGAUUUGAGUUGCUGCUAUAGCUUUCAACAAGACUCUCAGUAGUUGAUUUGGCCUCAUCACUAGAGUAUAGAAUUUGAUCAGAACUAAGAAGGCCCUUAUUGUUGAUCAAGUUCUGGAAGUAAUGGUUGUCAAAUAGAUCAAUCGAGUUCCGAUCAAGCGGCGUCGUAUUGUUUCCGUCCCCGUUCGCACAUAGGCUCUGCAAUUCGGACACCAAGCUUGUGUCCAUUGUAGCGUCUGGAGCACCUGUUCCUGAGAAGUUGGAUAGUCUAUUGCUGAAGAAGGCACAUUUUGCGAAUCCAAUUGUAUGAGCACCUGCACAUAAACAUUAAAAUUACCAAGCUCGCACAUUAUGGGAGUUCAAAAAGGGGUCCUGGGAUUCCUAAUGCAAACUUUUGGGAUAUUUUUCAAACAUUGAGAAAAUUUCGGAUAGAUAAAUGAUAAUUUUCUUAUUUUAAUAAUUUUAAAUAAGUUAAACUAGUAGAGGAGCCAAAUUUAUAUAGAAUGUCAUUACUUUACGAUUUAAAGUGAUCCCGAACGAAGGCUAAUUAGUUAUGAGUUGAUACAAAUAUAUGGUGAUAGAGAGGUCAAAUAAAUUACCUGACAAGGACACUAGGUCUUUAAUAUUUAGACCCACGGCUGCAAACUUGGCAGUGAGAAUGUUUAGCCCCUCAAACGGUGAAGGAAGAGCAUUGGCACCUGUCUGGUUUGCCACCAGUCCAUCUCUUCUUCCCAGCAGAACUUUCCAUGUAGGUCCUCCACUCUGCAAAAUAUUGUCAUAGUAUUUGUAUAAGUAAAAGUUAACCUCAUAAAGUUCAAAUAUAAAGAGAAAAUUUUAAUUUUCUCAUACCAUUAGAAUAUGAAAAAAAAAAUUCUUUAUCUAUUAAUUGGUAGAAUCCUGUGAACUAAGAUGACUUAGUCCCUGCUUGAUAAUUUAGUUCAACAGUUCUAUCUUUUAAGACACAAUACUAAAGUAUUUGGUAAACAAUUGUUCUAGUGACUUUAAAAUUAAGUUAAUUUUGUCUCAAAUUAUUAUGAUGAAAAUUUUAUAAUAUCUCUAUUGUUUUUGUCAAAAUUAUUAUUGAAAACUAUAUUUACUAUACAUUAUCAACCUUUAUUCUAUAGUUGCUACUUUUUUCUAUAGUAGCUGUGGCUUAAAAAAUAUGAAAUCCCAAUAUCAAACAAGGUCUCAAGUUUCUCAUGUCUCUAUUUCUUUUAGUCCCAUGGAAUCUAUAUGAGAAGAACAAUUAAUCAACCAACUUACCAAGAGCACUGAAUCUCUUGCAGCUAUGGCUAAAAUAUCAGCACAUGAUACAACUCCACUGCAUUGAUCUUCCACGGCAGUUUUUAUUGCGUCAAUAACUUCAAAUCCUCGUGCUGAGUUCCGGUUAGGCGCGGCAAACUUCUCACUGUCACUUCCAUCCAAUAACACUGAUGCAUCACAACCCUAUAACAAAGAAGGAGAUCAAGUUUAUAAUAAUUAUAAUUACCAAAUGAUGAAUAAUUUAGGGAAAAAAUGAUAGUAAAAUUAAUGAUACAUACAUUUUAUUUAUUCAUAAACUAGUGUACAGUAUACUAUACUUUUAGCCGUGCAAUGCAAGAUUAAAGCUGCUUGAACUGAGAAUAUAUAAGUACUUGAUCCAAAAAAGAAUAAAAAUGAAACUAUAAUAUGUUAGUCUUGACUCAUGAAUUAAACUAAAAAAUCAUUUUUGAGUUUGGUAUAUCAUUCAUUCUUUUUCACAAGUCUUCUUUAGAUAUGUCACGUGAAUUAAAUCCAAACAACUCAUACAAUUAUGUGCAAAUUAUAUUUAAUUUGUAUUCGAAAAUAUUCGAGCAGGGGACAUUUAGGUCAAAUAUAUAUGCUGUGGAUCAUACUGAACUACCAAUUUGACUUAAUAUUAGUGAAAGCUUAAAGGCAGGUGCCCAACAAUCUACAGUAACUUUUGAACACUUAAGAUAUAUGCUUGGCACAUCAAGUAGUGAUAACUCCGGAUUUAAUCGUUUUCCAAUGUUUUUUUAUAAAAGACUGCUAGCAACCCAUUAGGCCCUAGAGUCUUUGUUGGACACAUCUGUGCUAAGGCUUCAACAACUGCCUCUGUUGAGAAAGGCUUGUCCAAUUUCUCGUUCAUGUCAUUUGAGAGCCUUAGUGUUAUCCUUGAAAGAGCUGCUGCUAUUUGGUUCUAGCUCGGUCUGGAUGUGGUGAACAGAUUUGUGAAAUAAGUGCAAAACUCAUACUCCAUUUCUUCCACAUUCUCAAUCCAUCUUCUUGUUUCAUCUUCAAUUCCCCAUAUUCUAUUCUUUUUCUUUCGCGAUAAGGCUUUAUGAUGGAGAAACUUAGUGUUCUUAUCCCCCUCUUUAAGCCGAUCCGCUCUCGAUUGCUGUUUCCAGAAAAUCUCUUCAUCGGCCAAUAUGUUAUGAAUAUGUCUCUCCACCCAUUUAAUUUCAUCCUCAAAUUCAUACUGCACCUUUUUUCCUUUAAGCUUUACAACUGUUUUUUCAACUUCUUCAGUUUAUUUUCUCUCCCUUUAAAUUCUUCCUUACUACACAGAAUAAAAGUAGCCAUGGAAUCUUUAGUCGCCUUCUGGGAUAAAUGUAUGGGAUCAUCAAUGUUCCAGCAUCCAUGUUUAUGCCAUUCUUCUUCAAUUAUACUUUUACAGGUGUCAUAUGAACUCCACAUAUCUUAAUAAUGGAUUCGUGAAGUUCUCCUUCUUUGAUAAUUCAGGUCAUUACCUCUAUCCUGAACAUCCAUCAACACUGGGUUGUGAUCGAAUAUCCAACUCUCGAGAUUAGCAGCUACAUAUUCAAUAAAUCUCUCACUUCAAGCCUCAUUGCAUAAAAAUCUGUCUAAUCGUUCUUCCACAAAGUCAGGGCCAAAUAUUACAUUAUCCUAUGUAAAUAGAUAUCUCAUGUAGCCCACAUCCUUUAGAUUCCAAUCUCUCAAGGAUUUUCUGAAGUCACUAAUUUGGUUUGGAUUUCUAUCAUUGCCACCAUUCAUCUUAUAUAGGUGUAAAAUUUCAUUAAAAUCACUGAAACAUAACUAAGGUGUGGAAGAUAAACCUAAUAGCCGUCUCAACAAUGUCCAUGUGUGCUUUUUUUGCUGCAUCUCCGGAUGUCCAUACACCUCUGUACAUCGCAUUUGCUUUUCAUUGCCUAUUUGUUGUUCAGCAUCAAUGUGGUGCUUGCUAAAUGACUUAAUAUGCACACAAAUUUCAAAGUUCCAAAGCAUUGCAAGACCUCUUCCCCUUCCACUACUAUCCACAACAAAACAGCUAUCAAAAUUUAGCUUACUACGAACCGUAUCCAUUUGCAUAGAUUGCAACUUUGUCUCACUCAAAAACACAAGUUGAGGUCUAUGAAUUUGGAGAAUUUGUUGCAUUGCUAGGAACAUCCGGGAAUUCCCUAAACCCCGAACAUUCUAGCUGAGGAUUUUCAUGGCUUCUAGCAUUCUUGAUCGCCAGCCUCCACCGAUAUCUCUUCUAUGUUUGAGUCUGCAAUUUCUAUUCCCUUCAUUGCCAACGGUUCCCAGCUCAAAUUGAGUUUUGCCACUGGUGAAUUCAGCUGAUAUUGCUUUGUUUCUAAUUUGGGUAGGCUAGUCACUUUCAUCUUCUUUUAUUUUGAACUUGGCUCAGUUAGCUCACAACUUGGCCUUUUUAACGCCCCUAACCCAUAUUUGUUUCCACCAUUGGAGUUUGUGUUUCGGACUUGUAAUUUCCAUUUCCUUCUAUUGGGCCUCAUUGGAGCUCUUCGAGACUAAUUUCCUGUCUUUGCUUCAUUCGCGCCUUCUUAGCACAGUAUCUCCUCAUAAACUUUAAUUGGUGUUACCUCUAAAAUUUCUCGCUUGUUUUUAACAUUUUUAUUUCUCGCCUGAAUUCCCAUAUUUCCAGGUCCUCUUGCGUUUCCCUCUAUCUCAUGCUGCGUUUUGCCGCUUGCUUGUUGUGCCAUUGUUAUUUCCAAUACACCAUUCAUUAAAUGUUUCUCACAUACUCGUUCCACCUCAUCACCUAUAGCUAAUUCAUAAUUUUGACCCAUUUCUUCCUGAUCGAGUCUUGAUUUGGUUUUGUCAAUCGGGUUACUUUGACUCUGCUGAGGUUGUUGUGAGCAGUCGUGGUGUUUUGAGUUUGCCGCAUUACUCACUGAUUUGCCACUAUCCCUAUUCCAUUUCUCCUUGAUAUGGUGCUUCCUUGAGCGUCCUCCCACUAUAACUACCUUAAUCCACAUCUCAUAUGGAAGUUCCUCUUUUCGUUGGCCCUGAUACUUAGCACACUCCUUGAAUUAAUGGCCAAUAACUCCACAGUAGAAAUAAAAGUCAGGCAAUCAUUCAUAAUCUACAUGCAUUGGAAUAUCUGCUUCAUCCUCUUGUAAGAUCUUUUGUAAUGGCUUAUUCAUAUUGAUCGAAAUUAUAAUUCUUACAAAUUCCCCAAUAUAUUCACUAUAUUCUUUUGUUUCAACCUCCUCUACUAUUUCAAUCUUCUCGCCCUAAUUCUUGGAGAAAAUAUCUUUCCAUACAGCAACCGAGACAUUUCGAAUCUGCACCCAGAAUUCUGUAUGAGUGAAAGACUGUUUUGUGAUCUCCCCAAUUCUUUUCGGUUCUGUAAGGACAAUUAAGGCCCUAUCGAAGUGCCAAAGGCCUCCUGCCAUCACCCUUCUUUUAUUAGCUUCAUCUGCAAACUUGAAAAUAAAGAUAUUAGCACCCAAGCUCUCUAUCAUAACUUCUUUAAUUGUCCUUUAAACUUGCAGUAAUGCCAUAUUCAACCCCUCCUUAUGAACUCCUCUCGUAAGAAGUAUCUUGCCCAUCAACCAGCCAACCAAAACCUUUUCUCUUUUUUCUUUCAUUAUCACUUCCAAAGUUACUAUAUUUUUUUCUUUCUCUUUGAUAGUUAUCACUUUACACUUACGAAUUAAUUCCUCUGUAUCCAUAACAUUUAAAACCUUUCAGAAAUAAUUGUUGCAUUCAAUGUUCUAAAAGUAACCUUGUGUUCAAACCCCUUACCUGUAACACCCUAGACAAUGAAAGAAAUUCUAUGAAGAGUAUAAUUCUUGUUCUGUAAUUUUAAUGAAAUUUACAGAGUUAUUUAUACAAAAUAAAGACAAAGUAGCCGUUGAAAGGCUUAAUAAUAUUAAAGGAAAAAUAAGUAACUUCCUAAACUAUUGCACAAUAUCUUUAUAAAAUAGGAAUGAAAUAUUCCUACAUGAUAUUGGCAUUCAAGUGUAAAAAUCGUGCUAGAGAUAUUCCUUGACAAAUAGCUUUGACGUGAGCAAGCUGUGUGGAGUGAUAAACCCUUUGUUGACUUGACCGUUGAUGACUUUCCUUUUGGUAAUCUUGGUCAGCUUGCUUAACAUCCCCCCUCAAGCUGGCAAGUGACAUUUGAUGAACGCCAAGCUUGUAUCUGAAAUCGCGGAACAUGGCUUUUGACAAAGCCUUAGUAAAAACGUCUGCAAUUUGUAACGAAGAAGGGACAAACCUCGUAACCAAGGCACCAUCAGCAACCUUUUCUCUAAUGAAGUGAUAAUCUAAUUCAAUAUGCUUCGAGCGAGCAUGAAAGACUGGGUUAAUAGUCAUAUGCAAGGCACUUAAAUUAUCACUUAAAAGUUGUGGAGGUUGAGCAAGAGGAAUGCCAAUUUCUCGGUACAAGUAUGUGAUCCAUGUGAGUUCUGCUGCUGUAGAAGCAAGGGCUCGGUACUCAGCUUCAGCACUGGAUUUAGAGACAGUUGGCUGUCGUUUUGAAGACCAUGAGAUGCAAUUUGCACCCAUAUAGACACAAUAUCCCGUGGUACUUCUCCGAGUGUCUGGACAGCCUCCCCAAUCAGCAUCACAAAAGGCAAUAAUAUUAAGAGAGCUUUGUUGGAGAAAUCUGAUCCCAUAAUCCAAGCUCCCUUUUAAGUACCUGAGAAUACGUUUAACAGCACGUAAAUUAGCCUCAGUGGGUGUUUGAAAAUGUUGACAUACCUUAUUGACUGCGUGAACGAUGUCCGGCCUUGUUAGAGUGAGAUAUUGGAGCCCUCCAACUAAUCGUCUAUAUUCGGUUGCAUUGACGGGCUUGUGAUCAAUGGGGUUGGCUUGUUCUUUGAUGGCCAUAGGAGUUGACAAACUAGUGCUUUCUAGCAUCUUUGCUUUGGUCAGUAAGUCUUUGGUGUAUUUGGUUUGAGAAACAUAAAUACCUCCAGAGAAAUACCGAAUCUCAAGUCCUAAGAAGAAAUGGAGCUGUCCCAAAUCCUUUAAAGCAAACUCAAUGCUUAGUUGAUGAAUAAGUUGGUCAAUUAGAAAAGUAUUGUUGCCUGUCACCACUAUAUCAUCAACAUAAAUUAGCAUUAGGAUUAAUGAGUCAUUAUUAUGAAAUAUAAAUAAGGAAGAGUCGGCUUUACUGCAUAUGAAACCCAAUUGAAGUAAAUAAUGAGAAAGCCUAUCAAACCAAGCACAGGGUGCUUGUUUAAGACCAUACAAGGACUUGUUAAGCUUACACACAUAAUCAGGAUAUAAAGGAUUAGAGAAACCAGGAGGUUGUUCCAUAAAAAUAGUUUCUUUUAAAAAACCAUGUAAAAAAGCAUUUUUAACAUCAAGUUGUCUCAUGGUCCAAUUUAAUGUUACAGCAAGAGAAAAAAUUAACCGAAUUGUGGUAGGUUUAAUCACAGGACUAAAGGUUUCUUCGAAAUCCAAACCUGGAAUUUGUGUGUAUCCUUGUGCUACAAGACGCGCCUUGUAUUUGUCUAUGGACCCAUCUUCCUUAAACUUAGUUCGAUACACCCAUUUUGAUCCCACUAUGUUUGUAUUCACUGGCCUUGGUACCAAACUCCAUGUAUUAUUCUGAUGGAGAGCAUCAAGCUCUUCUAACAUAGCUGUGCGCCAAUGAGGUUGUCGAAUGGCGGUUUUGAAGUGUUUUGGCUCUAUUGUUGUAGUAAGAGCCAUUUUAUCAACCAACUCAGGGUGAUGACGCAACUUGUGUCUAGUUAUCAUUUGAUGAGUGUUGCUUGUUUCCGGCUCUUUGGGAAUACGAAGAUCUACAAAUAUAUCAAUGCCUUUAGUUGACUGAGGAGUAUUAGUUUCUAACUCCAAAUGAGUGCUGCCAGUUCCUAUAUUGUUCUCUGAAUCUUGCUCAGUUGAAGUGAUAUCAAAUUCUUCAAAUGAUGCUGAGCUAGGGCUUAAGCUGGCUUGAUUAUCUGUAGAGGCUGAAUCGGUGUGGAUGACUAUAUCAUGAAUUUCACGUGGGACUUGUUGGCUUGUGUCCAAGUCAUGCAUGUUUGAGUUCAUUGUGUUUUGAAGACCUAUAGAGUUUGGAUUUGCAUGAGCAACUUGUUGUUGGUUUACGUGAAACUCAUGCUGGGCUUGCUGAAAUGGGGAGCUAUUUUCAUCUAAACUAAGUAUAUCAUGGCAACGAUGUGUAUGAUAUGGCUUGUUUGUUGCUUUCUCCUUUUUAGUCCAGCUCUCAACAUCAGGAAAUGUAACAAUUUCUUGGCUGACCUGUAUAGGUAAACUUGGCAGACUAUUAGUUUUAAAGGGAAACAAAUUCUCAUCAAAAAUUACAUGACGUGAGAUAUACACCUUGUUUGUUGGUGGAUACAAACAUCGAUACCCCUUAUGUGAAGGGCUGUAUCCAAUAAACACACAAGGGUAUGUUUUUGGUGAGAAUUUAUUUUUCCUAUAAAUACGUAGAUAUGGAAAACAUCGGCACCCAAAACUUCUAAGCCCUCUGUAAUCAAAAUUUAUACCAAAAAGUUUGUAAAAGGGAGUCUUCAUAUUUAAAGUGGACGAAGGUAGCUUAUUAAUAACAUAAACAGCAGUAGAAAAAGCAUCAACCCAAUAUUGUAAUGGCAUAUUUGCAUGAAAGAGCAUUGUCAAACCUGUUUCUACAAUAUGUCGGUGUUUCCUUUCGGCAACACCGUUUUGUUCAGGAGUUGCAGGACAUGACAAUUGAUGCUGUAUUCCACAUUGACUGAGAUGACUUUGAAAUUCAUUUGAUAUGAAUUCACCUCCUCCAUCACUUUGAAAUAUUUUUAUCCUCUUGUCGAAUCGAUUUUCAACCUGUUUCUGAAACUUGAUAAAAACAUCAAAUAAAUCUGAUUUAUUUUUCAAAGGGUAUAGCCAUGUAUAACGUGUGCAGUCAUCAACAAAGACAGCAUAAUAUCUAAAAUUUUGAACAGAAGAAAUAGGAGCAGGACCCCACAAGUCGCAAUGAAUUUUAUGCAAAGGAACGCUGGAAAUUUUAUUGGAAAAAUUAAAAGGAAGUUUGCAGUUCUUUCCCAUUUGACAACUGGAACAUACAUAAUCUUUCGUAAUCCAAUUUGAAACAUCAAUAAGUUUGUUUUUAUUCAAAAACUUAAUGGACUUGAUUUGGGGGUGUCCCAUUCUUUGAUGCCAUAUGUUGUAAGGUGCUUUCCUGCCUUCAGAUAAGUAUAGGGCUGUAUGAUGUCCUUCAUCUAAAGCAUAAAGCCCUUUUGUCUUAGUUCCCUUUGCCAAGAUGUUUCCCUGAUAAUCCUUAACAACAAACUUGUUAGAUGAAAACUCAAUAAUGCAUGAAUUAUCAUGUGUGAGCUGCCCUACCGAAAGUAAAUUCUUUUUCAAGCCUGGAACCACAAGCACAUUUUUUAAAUAUAGUUUACUAAUGCCAGUGUCUAUGGAGGUGUUUCCUAUAUGUGAAAUAUUAAGACAAUCGCCAUUUCCAACAACAAUGGCAUCAUUCCCUUCAUAAGGUUUAAGUUCAGAAAUUUUACCUGGAUCAUUGACCAUAUGGGUAGUUGCUCCUGAGUCAGCAUAUAAUUUGGCAUCAUUUGCAUCCAGGUUCAUUGCAGCUAAGGCUUGUGGAAUUUCCUCAGUAAGAUGUGAGUAGUCAUACCUACGUCGACAUUCAAUGGCUGUAUGUUUCGGUAAAUGACAAAUUUGACAUAUGACAGUUUCUUCAUUGACUUCCUCAGCUUGUUGUUUGGAUUGAUUCUGAAUUUUCUGCCAAGGCUGUCCAGAAUUAUUUUGCCGAGGUUGCUGCCACUGUUGUCCCGAAUUUCCUUGCCAUGAUUGUUGCCCUUGUUGACUUGGAUUAUUGUUUGAUUUUUGCCAUGACUGACUUGCAUUAUUAUUCCAACUUUUUCCACCAUUGUAGUUGAUUUUUUGACCACUUGAAUCAGCCAAAUUUUGUCCUCCUGCUGCUGUAAAACCACGACCUUUUGAGUUAAAGAAACCUCCAUUUCCACGACCUUUUCCCUUGCCUCGUUGGCUAAAAAAGGCUUGAGCCAGAUUGAUUGUAUUCUUCUUUUCUUCUUCAAAAUUAAUAAGAGUUUGUUCAUGAUUUUCGAGGGCCAUGACAAACUGCUUAAAUGAGGGAUAAGGUGGUUUUGAAAGUUGAGCAAGUUUGAAGUCUUGAUACCCGUAGCCAAGACCUCUUGCAAGACCAAAGACUUUAUCUAAGUCAUUCACUGGUUUAUUUAUUGCAGCCAAACAAUCACAAAUAUGCUUGUAUUUGCGCACAUACUCUUCAACUGAUAGAGAUCCCUUUUUUAAUGUUGCCAAUCUGUCCAUGAGAUGUACCUCUUUUUCCUUAGUCAUCGGAAGUAAUUGAUUCUCCAAAGAUGACCAAAUUUGUUGAGCAUUUUCUACUCCAACGAUUCCACUCAUCACUUCUUCUGUCAUCAGGCUUAACAACCAAGAUGUUAACAACCCAUCAUUGUUGAUCCACAUGGUGAAAUCUUCGUUGCCAGCCUUUUCCCCAUCAGACAAUAAUAUUUCUUUUGCGGGUCUCUCAGCAUCUGUAAUAUGGUGCAGAAUGCCAAGGCUUCUGACCAAAGGGAGAACCUGUGAGCGCCACAACAAGAAGUUCGUGUUGUCUAGUUUAAUGGACACAAGACUUGAGCAUUGAUGAAAAGACUGAAUAUUUAGACUUGGCUCUUUGAUAAAGGAUGAAGAGGUUAUAUUGCUAGUACUCAUGGCUGGCUCUGAUACCAUGAAAGAAAUUCUAUGAAGAGUAUAAUUCUUGUUCUGUAAUUUUAAUGAAAUUUACAGAGUUAUUUAUACAAAAUAAAGACAAAGUAGCCGUUGAAAGGCUUAAUAAUAUUAAAGGAAAAAUAAGUAACUUCCUAAACUAUUGCACAAUAUCUUUAUAAAAUAGGAAUGAAAUAUUCCUACAUGAUAUUGGCAUUCAAGUGUAAAAAUCGUGCUAGAGAUAUUCCUUGACAAAUAGCUUUGACGUGAGCAAGCUGUGUGGAGUGAUAAACCCUUUGUUGACUUGACCGUUGAUGACUUUCCUUUUGGUAAUCUUGGUCAGCUUGCUUAACAGACAAAUCCCACAUCGGCAAAGCACAUGAGAGAUAAUGGGUUUAUAAAGGGUGAUCCACACGUUAAUUGGCAAGAUGUGUUUUGGGGUGUAUGGGCGCCGUAGAAACAAACAUGUGCGGGCCUUGUUAAGGUCCAACGCAGACAAUAUCUUGCCAAGUCUGGGUUGGGUCAUGACAUUAUGGUAUCAGAACGGCUCUGCAUGUCCUCUUAAGCAAUGGUGGGGCAAACCUCAGUGAGGACACUGAGUCCCCAAUGGGGUGUAUGUAACACCCUAGGCAAAUCUCAUAUCGGCAAAGCAUGGGAGAGAUACUGGGAUUAUAAAAGGUGAUCCACACUUUAAUUGGUAAGACGCAUUUUGGGGUGUAUGGGUGCCCCAGAAACAAAAUCGUGCAGGCCUUAUUAAGGCCCAAAGUGGACAAUAUCUUGUCAGAUCUGGGUUGAGUCAUCACAUUAUGGUAUCAGAGCGGCUCUGCGUGUCCUCUUGAGCGAUGGUGGGGCAAACCUCAGCGAGGACGCUGAGUCCCCAAGGCGGUGUAUGUGACACCCUAGGAAAAUCCUACAUCGGUAAAGCACUGGAGAGAUGUUGGGUUUAUAAGAGGUGAUCCACACCUUAAUUGGCAAUACGCAUUUUGGGGUGUAUGGGCGCCCCAGAAAACAAACUCAUGUGGGCCUUGUUAAGAUCCAAAGCGGAUAAUAUCUUAUUAGGUCUGGGUUGGGUUAUGACAUUAUGGUAUAAGAGCGGCUCCAUGUUUCCUCUUGAGCGAUGGUGGGGCAAACCUCAGUAAGGACGCUGAGUCCCCAAGAGGGGGUGUAUAUAACACCCUAAGCAAAUCCCACAUCGGCAAAGUACAAGAGAGAUGUUGGGUUUAUAAGGGGUGAUCCACAACUUAAUUAGCAAGACACGUUUUGGGCCUUCUAUAGGCGCCCCAGAAACAAACAAGCACAUCUAUUUUUUCAAAAUUAAUAGUUUAGUCUUAAAUGUGAACUUAUUUGGUGGCUGCAAAUUAUGAACCCAUUUUUUAUUUCGGUGAAAACGAAAAUGUAAAAUGCAAAACAGAAAACGUAAAAUGAUAUAAUGAAAUAAUUACAUAAUUAAUGUUUUCCCUAAGAUAUAGUAAAAGCGUAUGUUUCACCACAAAAUUUUGAAGCCGUACCGGUCCUCCCAGCCGUUUUAUUUAUUUAUUUUUAGUCUUUACAGAAAUGAAACUAAAACUCUCCUCACCCACGAGUGGUUGAAUCUAAGCCACUUAAAGUUAAUAAUUCAUGAAAUGGUGCCUUUGUUUGGUGGCGGUAGCGGGGCCUUGGCCUCUGAUUAAUAUUAUUCUUUUAGCGUGUGGAUUCCACAAAUCAAAACCCUUCGGAAUUUUAAUUAUUAUUUACCGAAAUAUCAUUUUCCCUAUGGCUUCUACAUAUUAUGCCUAUAGCUAGUGAUUGUUUUGUAAUUCAUAUAAAAAUUUAAUUUUAGAAUUGUAACUAUUUUAAUUAACUGAUGUAAGGUAAAUUCCUUAACAGAUAAAUUCAUCUAUGUUCUCUUAGAUUAUAAAAGAUAAAAGUAGCGUAAUUAAGUUCAAGAGAAAACUGAUUUUAUUAAAUUUCAAGGACGAAACGAAAAAUAAUAAUAAGAGAGAUAAAAGAAUUUUUAAGAGAACAAGAGUAUCAUUCGACAAAUAAAUUUAAAUUCAUAAAUUUUUCUGCCCGAUCUAAUAUUAAUUUUUAGCAGCAAGCCUACGGCACAAGCCACAUAUAUGCAUAAUUUUUAUUGGUUAAAACGUGACAUUGAUGAUGUUGAAAGAACAAAUAAAACCUCCAAAUAGAAAUACUUUAUAUAUGAAUAAUUUCUUUAUAGUAAUAAAAAAUCGUGGCCCCAACUUGCGACCAGUUAUAAUUAAAAAUAAAUUUCAUAUUGUAAUAAGUUAUAUUUUUUUAUAGGUCCCAACUUAAUAAACUUACUUUUACAUAAUAAUAAUAUUUCAAAAAUAUAUGUCAUGUUACAUUAAAUAAUUAUUAAUUUAUUAAUACAUGACAUAAUUUACCCCUAUAUCACUUGCAUUAGUAAUAAUUAAGUAAAGACAAUAAUUUUUGUACUAUACUUUUAUUGAGUUAUAACCUCUUUAUAAGAAUAAAUUUAUCCGGUCUCAACAAUAUGACUAUAUAGAGAAUUUACUGUACCAGGCUUUUUUAUGCGUAUAGAAGCAGGACGUGAACACAAAAACACAAGUUUAAUUAAUUUAUUUGAAAAUACAUAACAUGUUUCAGACAAGAAAAUUAGAUUAAACUCAAGUUUGGUAGUUAAUUUAUUUGAAAAUACAUAACAUGUUUCAAACAAAGCGAAGAUUAAAUUCGAGUUUGUUAAGCACAAAAACUCUCUCGCAUAUGCCGCAAGCUAGCUUAUUAGAAAGAGCUGACCAAAUCACCCUCCGAUGAUGAUGAUCUUGUUGCAAUAUUACUGUUUCCAUUGACCCUCCUGCAGUUCAAUCUAAUCUCCCCUUGAUUUCCUGCAGUGGUUUCAAAUUGCCCAUUCUUAUCAUUGAGGUCACAAAGUUUUUAAAGAAAGCAUUCUGGUUCCUCCCAAAGUCCUCGACAAUGGCAGCGGUAUCGGCACCAGGAGUCGAAAACAACUCUUGAUCACUCUGCAGAAGGCCUUUGCGGAGUCUAAGAUUGG